RNAcentral lists this long non-coding RNA (65399 nucleotides) under Lactuca sativa (garden lettuce). RNAcentral describes it as "long non-coding RNA (LSAT_LNC008316)". The record is from RNAcentral. Lineage: Eukaryota; Viridiplantae; Streptophyta; Magnoliopsida; Asterales; Asteraceae.
UCGACAUUGCUGCUGAUUUCAUAGCCUAUUGGCUUGGAAUAAUCCAAGAAGCAGCCGAAAAAACAUUAGUCACCAAAGACAAGUUUCCAAAACUCACCGAAUGGGCUGAUGACUUUGUUAACCUUGAAGUCAUCAAUCAAGUCUUACCUCCAAGAGAACGCCUGCUUGCAUUUUUCAAGAAACGCUUUGGUAAGGCAUAAUGAUAAGUGGCAUUUACAAAUAAUAAAUCUAGUCGUUUUUUCGGUUAUGUACUUUUAUGAAGUUGAAGUUUUUGUCUAUAACAUCAAUCGAUGUUGCAAGAAAAAGCUCUUUGUGUUUGUGAAAGUUAAAGUUUCUGUAACAGUCAUGGAUCGAUGUUGCAAUAAGCGGUUCUUAUGGUAAUGAUGCUGCUGUAAUAUGUAGUUUGUGGCAUGAGUAUAUUCUGUAUGUUGUUGUAUGCAACGUUUCUUAUUUGUUUUUAAUUGAAUGUGAGCUCAUGAAGAAGAUAUCUUCCACGACUAGAUGAUGCCCAUGGGUUGUUGGCUUGUUUCUUCUUCCAUGUGAAAAGGACUAUCUACUAUAUCAAAUCAAAUUAAUGAGAGUAAAUAACAGAAAUCAAAUUUUGUGGUUUGAGAAAAAGAAACUAGUGAAUUUAUACAUUGCACAUCAUAAAACUCUAAUAACAAAUUAUCGAGUUGGUUAAACAGUUAAAAUAACGUAUUCCAAAAAUUAAAUAACAUAAAAACAGAAAGCGNUUUAGGCUAGUUUUAUAAUAUUCGUCGUUUCAAAAUAAAAAAAAAAAAAAAAAAAAAGCGUAAAAAAAAAAAAAAAAAAAAAAACAUAAAUGAAGCAACAUUACAUAAACAAAAUUUUAAAAAAUUAAAACAAAAUUUGCAAAAAUAGUCAUUGUGGUUGUCAAAAUGCUGUGUUUUUUUGUCCAAAAAUAUUUGGUGAAGCACCAGCACUCUAAUUUAUUUUGGAUAUCUUGUACGUUUUUGGUCCAAAAAAAAAUUAAUUUUAAUAAUUUGGUUGUUAACUUUUCUUUAAAAUGACAUUUUACCCUAAUUGAUCAUUUCUGCAACCAAAAAAUUAAUUUUAAUAAUUUGGUUGUUACUUAACUUUUCUUUAAAAUGACAUUUUACCAUAAUUGAUCAUUUCUGCAACCAAACUAUAAGAACAAUUUAUGCAUAUCUAUUUUUGGAUUUUAUUCAAAUAUUAUAUAUUUAUUCUUUAAAAUAAAUUUUUAAUUACUUUUUAUUCGAUUAAUUUUUUUUAUAUUAUUAAUGACAAAAUUGCAAAAAUUGUUCAUAUGUCUAUCAAAAUUAUGAGAGAUAUGGCGAUUUCUAGCGUAAGAAUCUGCAGAUCACCGACAGACGAUGCUGGCGGAUGGUGGUGNNNNNNNNNNNNNNNNNNNNNNNNNNNNNNNNNNNNNNNNNNNNNNNNNNNNNNNNNNNNNNNNNNNNNNNNNNNNNNNNNNNNNNNNNNNNNNNNNNNNNNNNNNNNNNNNNNNNNNNNNNNNNNNNNNNNNNNNNNNNNNNNNNNNNNNNNNNNNNNNNNNNNNNNNNNNNNNNNNNNNNNNNNNNNNNNNNNNNNNNNNNNNNNNNNNNNNNNNNNNNNNNNNNNNNNNNNNNNNNNNNNNNNNNNNNNNUUAUUUUAUUGGAUUAUUAAUUUCAUUUAAUUAUUUCUUUUUUUAAUUUCAUUUUUAAUGAAAUAAAUCUUUUUUAUUGGAUUAAUAUAUAUUAAUAAAUAUUAUUUUUAAUUUAUAAUAUUCAUAUAUUAAUAAAUAUCAAUUUAUUGGAUUUUUGAUUUUUUUGAACUACUAUAUAUUAAUAAAUAUUAUUUUUAAUAUAUAACAUUUAUUUACGAAAAAACAUCAUAAAUGGUCCUUAUGGUUUUCCAAAAUCUGAAGUUUAGUCCCUAUUGUUUAAAAACCUCAUAGAUGGUCCCUGUGUUUUCAAAACUUUUGAUGUUUGGUCCUUUUUGCUAACUCCGUUAAGUUUGUCCGUUAACUGAAGGGUAUUUUCGUCAUUUCACCACCACAGGGACCAUUUAUGAUAUUUUCAGUUUUUUUUAAAGAAAAAACGAUAUAUAAGUAUUUAAUAUAUAAUAUCUCUCUCUCUCUCUCUCUUUCUCUCUCUCUCUCUCUCUCUUUUUCUCUCUCUCUCAGGUGCCCUGUUCUAGAAGAGCGACAUAGGUACUUCCGGUGAGUACCAUUCCAUUACUGACCAUUGAUUUCUCCAUCCUGAAAAAACAACACAUGUCUCCUCCCUCUAUUCCAGAAACAUCACACACGACCCCCCUUUUCCCUCCUAUCAUCUCCAACCAAAGCAACCUUUUAGCACCGAUGAUCUUGAACCCAAUUCGUCUCCAACUGUUUGAUUUGACAAAGUUCCGGCUGUUUGAGACAAGAUAAGAGGAGAUAAGAGGUCUUUACAAUCCUUAACCAUAUGCAUGAUUAAUCAAACAAACUAAGAAUUAAUUGAUUUCAAUCACAGUCAAACAACCCAAGAAUCCAACAGAGCGGAGAAUUAAAGAAGCAAGCUGAUAAUGAAAAACAGUUAAACAAAAACUAGAAUCAAAUUUAUAGGAGGAGCUAUCGAUUUUAAUGCUUGUAAACAAACAAACCAAGAAUCAAACACAGUCAAACGAAACCAAAACUUUAAGACAAAACUUCAUUUUGGAUGGAAGAGGCAUCAAAAAAUUAACCAAUAACAUCAGGUACUGAUUUGUGUGUGCGUGUGGGUUUUUAAAUUAUUCCUUAGAUGAUCAGACAAAUAUCAAGAUGAUCAGAAGGGGUAAGGAGCCUAGUUGUAGAUAGGGGAGGAGGGCAUACCCAUUAAAUUUGCAGAAAACACGAAAAGGAAAAGAGGAGGAGUGGCUUUGAUCGAAUAAAAAAUAGUGAAGAGGGAGGGAGGGCAUACUUGUAAUGUAACUGAAUCGGAGGAUUGGAGCUCAAUUUCUUCAGAAGAUCGCUGUUUUCCAAACUGAUAACCCUAGGUUUAGCCAAAUUUUUCAUCUGGAUUGAAUUUCUUAACACAUAUAGACACUUUAUUAGCUUGAUAAGAACCAGAAGGAAGAUUCGAGGUGAAACCAGUAACCGAUUUUGAGCCUAAUUUUGCUUUAUCCAAUUGUCCUUCCAAUGACGUAGAAACAUUAGGAUCAAGAUUUGGAGGGAAAACCUCCAUAAAACCGAACGAGAACUAGGUUCAAGAAUAGAGAAGAAAAUAUGGGUCGUGAUGGGAUCGACGAAAGAAAGAGACAGUAGGUGGUGGUGAUUGGAGUCCUCACGGUGGCAGCGGGUGGUGGCGGUGUGCAAUGACAGCUCCACUGCCUUGCUCAUUUGUUUUCUGCCGACGUGAACUGAAAGGGAGGGGUGGUGAACGGUGGCAGGUGGUUGGAGGGAGCUAGUCCGAUGGAGCGACACAAGUAGUAACAACAGCACAUGUGAGGAUGUUUGGCUAGCUUCGAUCAGCAACAAAAGAGUGAGAAACACGAUGGUGGUGAUGGUUGGUGAUAUAAGAACGAAAGAGAGAGAGAGAGAGAGAGAGAGAGAGAGAGAGAGAGAGAGAGAGUAUAACCCCUUAGCAUAUUAUUAUUAUUAUUAUUUUAUAAAAUAAAAGAAAACAUCAUAAAUAGUCACUGUGGUAGUGAAAUGACGAAAAUACCCUUCAGUUAACGGAUAAAACUUAAUAGAGUUAGCAAAAAGGACCAAACAUCAAAAGUUUUGAAAACAUAGGAACCAUCUAUGAGGUUUUUAAACCAUGAGGACUAAACUUCAGAUUUUGGGAAACCACAGGGACCAUUUAUGAUGUUUUUUCUUUAUUUACUAAUAAAAGUUAUUUUAGUGGAUUACUAUUCGUUUAGUUAUGAUUUUGAAUGUUUUAAAUAGUUUUCUUUAUUAUUCUAAUGUCAUUCUUGAAAGUUUGCAAUUGAAGUGCUAGAUAAAUAUGACUUACUAUUUGACAAGUUCGUUAAUGAGUCAGACAAACCUAAAAAAUAUUUGAAAAACUAUUGCACAUUCCCAACCUAUGUUCAAGUUUUUCCAACAAUUACACGAUUAUAAUAUGAAUGUUGAUUAAGUUAUUUUUAAUUUAUUAAAUUUNUAUAUAUAUAUAUCAUUAUUAAAUUAUUUGAUGUUACGUUGUUAUUCUUUCUAGCCAUUUUACUUUUGUUACAACCCAAUGUUUUAUUCUUGAUCUGGUUCAUGUUGGCCGCUUGAAUUGAAAUUAGUUCAUUCACGUUAUUCGAUUUGUAAAAUCUAUAAUUGUGUUAUGAAUUGGUGCUAAGUGACAAACAUUUUAUUGUUUCUGUGAUGGGAUUAACUUCAAUGUAAACUAAAAUUGCAUGUUUUUACGCUUCCGACCUUGUAAGAAGCAUUGAACGUUGUUGGGAACAUUCACACAAAACUUAAUGUUAUCUUUCAAUCUAUUUAUAAGAUGUUGUUUAGACUAAGUUAUUAAGGUUUGAUUUAAUUCGAAGAGCUUGUUUUGAUUAAACAAUUUCGUGAAUAGAAGAUGUUAGAGCUUGUUAGUAUAUUCAAGUACCAACUUCAUAAAUUGACAAUGUUUGUGACUGUUACUAUUAUUUUUAAAUCAUAUGUGAAAAUAUGAUUCCUUGUUUGAUGGGUUCAACACCCAUCAAACACCACCACCAUCACCCAUUCUGGGUGGGAUUCUUAAAAAUAAUAUAAGGAUGGUGGUAGUGUUGUCCAAAAAAAAACGAAUUAAUACAAUAAAAAUGUAAUUUAAAAAUUAACUAAAAAAUUAACAAUCCAAUAAAUUAAUAGUUAUUAAUAUAUAACUAUUAUACAAUCAAAAUAAUAUUUAUUAAUAUAUAACAGUCCAAUAAAAAAUAAAUCCAUUAAAAAAGAAAUUCUAAAAAGAGUUAAUUAAAUAGGUUAAUAAUCCAAUAAAUUAAUAUUUAUUCAAAUAUAAAUAUUAUAUAUUAAAAAUAAUAUCUAUUAAUAUAUAAUAUUUCAAUAAAAAGAAUUAAUCCAAUAAAAAGAAAUUGAAAAAGAAUUAGCUAAAGUAAUUAAUGUACAAUAACUGAAUAUUUUUUUUAAAAGAUGAAUGAAUGGUCCUUAUAGUUUGGUGGUAGAAAUGGUCCUUAAGGGUAAAAUUGACAUUAUAAAAAACUUAAUAGACAACCUGUUAAAGUUAAUGUUUUGUGACAAAAAAAUGCACAAAGUAUCCAAAAUUUGACCACUAAUGCACCAUCAAACAUUUUGGACCAAAACCAUAUAAUUUUGACAACCAUAAGGACCAUUUUUGCAAUUUUUGUCAAAAAUAUGGACCAAAAUUUAAUAUCCACUCCAGGUAUCAUUUUAUGCUUUGUAAGCCUAAGUAAAAGAGUUGAGAUUUGGCUUUAUAACACAGACCACGACGUGGUGAUAAGCGUACCACAGCGUGGUGACUACUAUAACCACGCCAUGGCCCCGUAAUGGGCUCAAAACCUAUGGCUCGAAUCUUGAGCCCUAUUUAAGGAAUGAUGGGGCUAGGGUUUCUUCCCAACCCCAACCUCCAUCUUUCUAAAACAUUUCCUCCAAACACUAGACUCCACUAUUGUGUUCUAAGCCUUUUGUAUGUGUGUGUGUGAUGUGCCAUUUUAAAGGAAGAAUCACCACUCGUUGGAUUUUUAGAGUAUCUUGUGGAAGAUCCAACACCUUUAUUACCUUCUAAACCAUUGUAAGUGCUCAAAAUUUCAAUUUAUGGUUUUAAAUUCAUAGAUCUAGCAUUUUGAGUCCUUCUUUUAGAUUUUGUUAGAACUUAUGGAAGAACUCCAGGUAAAGCUUAAAACUUUACCAAUAUAUAGUGUCCCUUGAGUGUUUUAUAUUUUAGAUUUGGAACUAGGGAGUGAUUUGGGACCAUGCAAACAAUAAUGGUCUCAUUUCUCACUAUUUUUUACCUAGAAUGGUGUAAGACAUGCAUGGGUGUGCAUGUCCGCAAAGUUAUGAUUUUUAUGACCCUUUUAGGUGCUACGAAACCUUUUAGAAAGUAUCAGUGGUUGGCUUAAUGGAUUAAGGGCUUAAUCCAUUAAGCUGUUUUGGGACAGUUUCCAUGACGCUUAGUAUGGCUCGCCAUGACGUGGUGAUGGGUUUCAUCGUGACUGUUUUGUAGAGUGGCUACUACGGCGUGGUCACUGGUUGGCCACGACACGAUGGUUGAAUGUUGACUUUGGUCGUUAACUUUUUGACCACAUAGACUUUUGGUCAAACGUGGAGAGGUUUUGAGUUAUGACAUGAGGUUUGGCUUCUGGUUGGUUUAAGUGGUUCUUAUAGUUGAUUUUGUGGAAUUUCGAGUGGAUUAUAACUCUUUGAUCAGGUGAGUUUUCUCACUAUACUAUGUAGGACACUAGGUGUCGUGGUAUGCUAGAUUAUAUAUAUGACUUUUACAUGAAAAACUGUGGUGGGAACACAACACUUUUAUAAAAGACUGUGUUUGGAUCACAAUACUUUCAUGGAAAGACCAUGGUGAGACUAUGGCCGAAAACAUUGCAGUGGAGCUAUAGCAACAGAAGUGAUUGUAAGACUAUGGUGGGAUCGUAGAAUGCGCAAAAGUUAAAAUACACCCUAGCGUAGGGCCCAGUUUUAUGUAUGGUAUGUGGUACUAUGGGAAAGUCACUGAUCAUUGUGCUUAAAGUUUAAGUUUAAAUGUUCAGGUACCACCAAUAGCAAGGGAAAAGAGCAAGUAUGAUUGUGUUGCAUCCAUCAACGAUUUCCACACUAAGAGAUUUUGGGAUUACUCUCAUAUUUUUAUGACAAAAAUAUACUUAUGUUUUGGAUGACUUGACUUCUGAAGUUUAUUGAAUGGUUUUAUUUACUUUAAAAUUUAGAGAUUUUCUAGUAUUUGUCGAAUAAUACAAGUUAGUAUCAGAGCGUUGGUUUGAGGGUUCAAGCUAGCAUAGGGUGCGUUUGAACUAAAACAAAUCUUUUCACAAGAAAACAUUUUCUAAUAAGGGGUUUUCAAAAGAAAAAAUGGGGUGUGAUGCAUGCAAUCAACCGAGCCCAAGUAAUUAAUUACCAGAAUAAACAUACAUGAAUUUUAUGUUUAGCAUGAUAUGAUAUGAGUUGUAUGCUAGUACUAUGCUAAGAAUCUUCUUAGGGUUGCAUGCUAGAAUUCCUAUUAGAGUAAUGCCUUUUAUGCCUAUUAUGUGUUAAUAAAGAAAUGCUUUAGGAUUUAUGCUAAUUCUAGUAAAUUAUUUGAUGAAUGAAUUAGGAUGGUACAUGUUAACGUAUGGUCCAUUACCUUGGCCCAGACGUCAAGACUUGGUGCGCUAGUCUUUCCUGGUGCUCUCCUGGAACUUGUAUUCUAGUCUUGUCUGGCGCCCGCAUGACAUUCGCCUAGUGCCCGCACUGGCACUCGACUUGCGCCCGGGCGAUCUCUCCCAGCUCCUUGCUAGUUGUACCUAAGUUCGGUUGGCCCAAGGCCUGACCUACCUCUCCCUUGACCUAAUUUUCCCAUAUAAAUAGAACAUAAUAUCCACCGUGAGGAGGGAUCUGAAACCCUAGAGAUUCUAACCAACCUCUAGUCACCCACUAUAACCUAGACCUUCAUAUCAGCCUCCAUGGCUAAACAUACACAAAACGCAUACCAAGAUGGUUCUCUCCAGCUAGGGAGAACCAUCUCAUCUCUACCAACCAAUCUGACCUGAUCGUCGGAGCUUGCUCCCAGGGCACAAUCCUUAGGGCGACUCUAAUGACUUUGUUGGGACUGCAACUUAGGUACCUCACCGAAAAAUUGUUGACGGCACCUCCUCCGGAUCUCCGAUCCGGAUCCAACACAGAACACCCGACAGCCUGAGCACAUGUCGCAACAUUUGGUGCCAUCCAUGGGACAAAGAACAAAUAGUUAUCGUCUCUUGGUCUCAACCUCAGUUUCGCCUCUGAUCUGUUCAGAUUAACUGUUCUUUGUCUCAUAUUAGCUCAGCUCUGUUCAUUUCUACCAUUAUUUGUUCAGAUUCGUUUGACUCUCGCCAAAAUCUGUCCGGAUCUAUUUACCAAACAUUCAAAUCUCUUGAUCUACCUCGUUUUUCCUUCAUAUAUCCAGAUCUGUUUGGUUUUUUCUCAUCAAAUCAUUUCUCAGACCUAAGAAGAUCUACUCAGAUCCGUUUUUGUUUGUAUUUUGAUGAUUUAUUUAGAAAAAUGGGGAGAAUAGAAAGUUUUAUGAGUUUUAUGUGCCUUUAUCAGUUUAUAUUCCUAGAAAACUCUCCUUAGUUAAAGUUUUCAUGAAUAUUUGAUAUCUUAUGAGGCAUAUGCUUGUAAAUGCUGCUAUGAUGGUACAUUCCAAAACACAUCCAAUAUGUCCAAUAAAUCUAUUGAUAUUUUGUUACGGUGCAAAUUUCUCAUUGGAUGUGGAGUGUAGGCUUACCCUCUUGGAUGUGUAAAUGGGUUGAGUCAUUCCUAUAUUUAGGAAGUGAGCAACUCCCAUUAUGUAUGACCCAUUUUAUGAGUGUUAGUUUAGUGAGAGAAAGAACAAACCCACUUGUACUCUUACUAUUCUAAUAGAGCUUAAACAUGACUAUUUACUCUUGGUGUUCUUGAUUUUUGUAUAAUUCACUAGAUUUUUUCAAUUCCGCACAUGUCAUCAUAAUUAAGAUCGCUACAAUUGGUAUCAUAGCGGGUGUUCUUGAAGCUCUCACGAAUUGGUCCAUGAUGACUAUAUGAUUUGAGAGAAUCUUCAUUGUUGUGAGCUAUUCGUGAUUCAGAGUGUUUAUGUUCUAGAAAUCGAAUUUAUUCCUUGAUUUCAUCCAAAAUUCAAGUUUCUCUCUCUAGAAUAUUUAUUCAUAUUCCAUUUCUCUCUAUAAAAUUUUCAAGUUCUUGUGAUCAUGGUGUAUUUGGCUUAUGGUUUUUGGGUUGUGAUAAAUGGAGAUGUCAAAUACAAAGUGAAUGAGAAACAAUUUUGUGGGUUAUUGUUGAAAUGCGGAUUGAUUACAUGGGAAACUUUGAUGUCCUAUGGAGGCUUGAAAGAUGAUCAUGGAAGAUUGAUAUUUCAACCACUUUUAAAGAUUGGAAGUUUGAUUGAAAUCACCAUGAUUAUGUUACCUUGGUGUGAAAAUCAAAAGGAAGGAAAAGAAAAAGAAUUAUUCAAGAAGGAAUAUGUUUCUCUUAUUGAAGACCCAGAAGAUCUUCAUGUUCUUAAGUUUGUUGAAUUUCAAGAAUGGGAAUUCAAUGUGAUUUUGAUGAAUAUUUGAAAUUUCUUCGUUCAGUUGGAGUUCAAAUUGGUGAUUGCUUGAGUUCUUAUGAUUCGUUUGAAGGAACGAUGCCUUAUCAAAAGCCUUCAAUCCGAGAAGUCCAAAUGUAUCAAACUCCAAAACAUUUGAUUCAAACUUGCAAAGUUGAAGUUGUUCUUGAAUUCAAAUCUUCAAGAUCCAAAAUGAUGAAAAGGAAGAAAAAGAAGAAAAAGAUCAAAAGCAAAAAAAAAUUGGGUUUCUUCACAAAAAGCUUCAAAAGUUGUUAUGAAUCUGAAAUUUCUUAAGCUAAUUUGGGUUCCAAAGCAACAAUCAUCAAGUGUUGCAAUGAAUUUGAAUUCAAAACCCAAAAGUGUUGAUGGUUCUUAUGAAGAUGAUGUUAGAUCGUCAAAGAACACGAAGAACGGUUUGUACAACAUGCAUUGUGGGUGGUACAAUGUGAAUAUUGGAGAUUUUCUUGUUCCAACCAAAGAACCAAGAUCUUCAAUGACUGCUUUGUGUGUUACAAACAUAAAAACAAUCAUCAAGAAGGUGUCUCAAAUUCUUAAAUGGAUUGCGAAAAUUCAUGUUGAGAUCAACGAUGAACGACCAAGGCUUUUCUCAAAACUCAAAUUUAAUCAAUUAUUCGUUUCGUUUUUUAUUUUUGAUCGUUUUGAUUCAUUGGAUCUAUUUUGUUUCAAAUCCCAUUGAUGAUCCAAUAAAAAAAAAUUUGAUCAAGUUUAAAGAAAACAUUAAAAUUCAUUUGAUUUAUAUUACUGUCCAUUGAUUGAACAAAAUAUGAGCCCAAAAUUAUAAUCUGACCUUCAUACUUGUUCAUCAAUCCAUAUUCAGCCCACAUAACUCAAUCUUUCUCUAUUCGUUUGAUCCAUGAUUUCUUGAGCCCAAAUUCAAACAGUAUUAUUUUUUGAAUCCCAGAUUAUUGGUUACACUGUUCGAAAUCAGAGGCAUGAGAUGUAUGAAAGUCAAAGUUUGACUGUUGUUUGCUAUUUGUAUUUGAAUAUUGUAAAAUUGCUUGAAUCGAAACUUGAUUUAAGAUGUUUGAAAUCGAUUUCAAAUAGUACCUAUCAUCGAUAAAUGUUGAUUUCGAUUUGCAAUUAGUUAAGUCGAAUUGUAAAUAGAAAGAAGGUGAAAUCGAAUGAGUUUUCGAUGAAUGUGGAAACAAUUUCGAUUUUGACUGGAGUUGUACUUGGUUUGAGUCCAUUAAGAGCCGAACAUAGAUUCAACUGGAUGUUUGCUGUUCGAAUUGAAAGAAUUUUGAGAAAUUGGUAGUCAAUGGUUGAAAGUCAUUGUAUUUGGAUACGAUUUUGACUAGGGUCGUAUUUGGAUUAGAGUCGAAUUUGACUGUUGUUUGGAAUUGAAUGUCUUGGAAUCGACAGUUGGUGUUUCGAUGGUUAAAUGAAAAUUUCAAACAUCCUAAUUUCGAUUGGUGUUUGUUAAUUGAGUCCAAGUCGAAAGCAGAGGUAGUCUUGGAAUCGAAUGCUUUGAAUUCGAAUCAGUUGCUUGGGAUUGAAAUUCAUAUUGACUGAUAUUGUGAAAUAAGCGGGGAAGAAAACAAUUCGAUAUUUCAUGAUGAACAUAGUUUGGGAAGGUGAUUGAAACGACUUCUCCAAAGUUGAUUGAUUUGGAAUCGACGAUUAAAAGAAGACUAGGAAUCAAAAGUCAAAGCCAUGAGUGUCGAACGUAUCUGAUUUGGAUAUACUUGGAGUCGAACGUAAUAAGUCUUGGGAAUGAAAGCUUGAAGCAGAAAGUUAGAAUUCGAAUGGUGUUAAACAAAACUUGAUUUGGAGUUAAAGGUUUUGGAGUCGAGUUAUGUUAAUUUCGAAAUCGAUUUCGAUAUGUAAAACUUGUCGUUCGAGCUCAGUCCCUUGCAGUUUUUGCAACUUGACACUUUAUGUCCGGCUUCGCAAUUGGAGUAAAGUUUUGCAAUUGAAAGUUGUUUUGGCGCAACGGAUCUCUACAGAAUUAUGAAAUUGACAGUUUAUACCCAGAUUUUGAAAUUCUUGUAAGUUUCACCUAAAAGUCAAAAAAUUUCACAAAAUUUGGAAAAUUUUCUUGACUUUUUGUGAUUAUUUUUCAUGCAAGAUUUUCGCAGUUUCAUUUUUGGUACACAUCGAGGGGGAGAUUCAUCAUAUUUAUUCCUCAAGCGUUUCUCGUCCUUUGUGAGUUUUAUAAUCACUUGUUGAUUAUAAAAAUGGGGAGAAUGAAUAAACGGUAUUAGAAGCUUCUCAGGUAUUCAUUUGCGGAUUUGAAGAUUGGUGUUAGUUCGAGGGGGAGUUGGUCUUGAUCACGCAAGCUCGUUUGGAAACUAAAGCAUGGACAUCCAAUCCUAACUUUGAGGGGGAGAAUAUUCAGGUGCAAAGUUCUCCUUGGAUGUGGAGUUUAGGCUUACCCUCUUGGAUGUGUAAAUGGGUUGUGUCUUUCUUCUAAUUAGGAAGUGAGUGACUCCCAUUAUGUAAGACCCAUUUUGUGAGUGUUAGUUUAGUGAGAUGUAAAUUCUGGAAUUCUCACCCGCAGCAAAGUCAACAACAACUUAUGCAUGUUUGUCAAUUUAUCUUAUUGAUUGAACCAAAAAAAUAUUGUUGAUGCUUUGAAAUAGGUUGACUGGAUCAAGGUUAUGCAGGAUGAGCUGAAUGAAUUUCAAAGACAUCUUGUGUGGACUCUUGUUCCAAAAUCUCAAGGGAAGACUAUCAUUCGCACUCGUUGAGUUUUUAGGAACAAAUUGAUGUGGAUGUGAUUAUUAUAAGAAACAAAGCUAUACUUUUGGCUCAAGGUUUCUAUUAGCUUGAAGGGUUGGACUAUGAUGAAACUUUUGCUCCUGUUGCUAGACUUGAAGCAAUUUCCCUGUUUUUUGUGUUUUCUUCCUUCAAGAACUUCAAAUUUUAUGAGAUGGACGUCAACACUACUUUUCUACACGGUGAUCUUCAUGAAAAUGUUUUUCUAAAGCAACCACCAGGGUUCGAAAGUGUCGAAUUUCCAAACCGUGUGUAUCGUCUUGACACAUUGGCAAUCUAUCUUCUUUCAAAUGGAUACAAUCGAGUAAAGAUUGACAAUACUUUGUUCAUAAAGAAUUCAAGAUCCCAUAUCAUUCUUGCCCAAGUGUAUGCGGACAUAAUAAGACCCUGACACAAGCAACACCUAGGAGACAGAGCUUUGAAAAAGGACUUUGUACAUAGAAAGUACUUUUGUAUGUAGGACAUGCUCCAUCGAGCAUCAAUCUUCUCAAACAAAGUAUCUACUCUCUAUUCUGAUCACACACGUACCCUUAAUAUGAUACUACCCAAUAUCCAAACUUAAUAGAACUAAACAUCUCUUUUAAGUCUUAUUUCAUCACUAAGCAAGCCUACAAUGUUUAUAAUCAACUUUCAAUACUAACUCUGUUUCGGCAAUACUGUAAUGUUUUAUACAGAGUAUUAAGUAUUAACAAACAUUUAUCCUCUCAUUUAUAAUACUUGUAUUAUUAUUAUCAUGUAAAUACAUCUCACCACAUAUACAACCAUGUCUAUUUCGCAUAUCGUAUAUCAUCAAAUAUACAUAUAACACAUAUUCCUAGAUAAUAAGCAUAUAACUCACAAAUAAAAGUUCAACGUAUAUUUAAUACUUUUAUUAAUACUUGUAUUAAAGUCAUGUCCAUGAAAUGUACUAUGCACUUACUUGUAAAAGUGACAACUUGAAAUUCGGGCAUCACUUCGCUUCUAGCAACUGUCUUUUCCUUUGACGUAACCUAACAUUAUUAUCGCUAAGUUUUAGUCUAAUAUUAAUUGCGACUAAUUGUUAGUCUAAAUUCAUCAUUAACUCAAAGUCUACUUCAAGAUCUAUUAAGUAAGGAACAACCAGGUAGGAUCAUAUCGGAAGUAGGGUCUGUUUGGUAUACGAAGUAUACUGUUUGGAAAUCCGACUUUAAACACCACACUAAAUCACACCCUAGAAAUGAUCCCCAUAAGUAGAUCAACCAGUAUAACGACUUGGAAUCACUGAUAAAUCUUGUUUAUCUAUUCAUAAUAACGAUAAUGAAUUUAAACCUAAGUUAUACUUAAAGUAGGGUACAAAUAACUCACUUACAAGGGAGUUUUGCGUGGAACCGGGCUCCGCGCGGGCAUAACUUCUGAGUCUAAAUCUCUUCUUCACGGGGCUUUCCGACACUCUGUGACUCGCUUCUAACACUUAGAAUGUGCCAGGGAAAGGCUUAGAGGGUCUGGGAGUGUUUGGGAUUGAAUGGGUUAGAAGGUUUGAAGACAUGAAGUGAUUUUCGCCUCUAUUUAUAGCAUGUCUGAAGGUCGUACAUUGGGCGUAGUAGAUGGGUACGUUGGGCGUACUCAUGCCAUGUGUCACUAUCUGGUGGCAAGGCGUGGGGAGGAAGCAGUGGCUCAGAUCGCACCACGUGUCACUCGUUGGUUACUCCAAAAACUAAUUAUCUUCUAAAAUCCGUAACUUUUGCAUAUGAGCUCUGUUUUUAAUGUUCUUUAUAUCCACCCAUAGGUAUCGAUGGGAUCUACAACUUUCAUUUAGAAUUUGUCGCCUAGUUUUGAAUUCAUUUUUCAAGUUAUAUUUUAACAGCUUAGACACUUAAAGUCCGUUAAAAAAUCAUAACUUUGUCAUCCGACGUCCGUUUUGGACUGUCUUUAUAUCGUUGAGCUCCCAUUAAUGAGAUCUUUAAUUCUCAUUUAGGCCGUGUCAGCUAAAAAUCGAUCGAUCUAAAAUUCGAUUUUCGAGCUGUGUGCUACUGUGCUAAAUCUUAGAAAAAUCAUAACUUCCUCAAAUGAAGCAGAUUUAGACGUUCUCUAUAUGCACACUCUCAGUUUAACAUAAACUACGACUUUAGUUUAGAUCUCUAAGGCUAGAAAGUAGUUAUUUUUUACGAUACGCGACGUCGUGCCAGUUUAGUCGCGAAACUUCAACAGGUCAUAACUUAUUUCUUAUAAGUCGGAUUUUAGUGUUCUUUAUAUGUACGGAAUCCUUGCGACAUAUACAAUAACUUUGGUUAAUAUUAUUUAUUCUAAAUAAUCUUCUAUCAAAAAGUCAUUUUUAACGUUUAUUGUCUCUAAAUUGACGAGCCCGAAUCUGCGAGCGUUACAAUUAUCUCCCUUUUACGAUGAUUACGUCCUGGAAUCAUCAACAAAGCAUUGCUUCAAUAAUGACUCCAUAAGUUAUCUUUUCAUCCUAGUUAAUAAUCGUGACUCUUUUGUCCUGUCAAAUGACUAUCGAAUUCUUGAACUUCUUGACUGCAGACGGUACGUAAUCUUGCACCCGCUCUUUAUCCUAUGUUGGACUUUCAAUCGUAACCUUUGAGUUACAAAAUCAAUACUUAUUGGAGACUACUGCUUCUACCUAAACAGACUUAACUUAAUAUAAGGUCUUUAUUUCGAUUAUCGUAACAGACCGAUGUGUCAUGUUCUAAUGACCUUUCAUCGUAUGAUGCAACGCUUAGACUUAGGUCUUUUAGAGUCAAGUUCUAGAAUGUAAUAUACCUUCCUUCAUGUUAUAAUGUGAUAUAAUCACAUUCUAGCAUGUAGCACUUCUAGCUACAAGCUUCUUAACAACGAUCGUAAUACUUCUAUUGAUCGCUUCAAUUAUCUUUCACUUCAAUCUUCUGGCUUAAGUCAGAUGCUACAUCGAUCUUGGUUCUCCGAAUCACGUAACAUACUUAUCUUAUCUGGACUCGAUUUGAUAUGACCACUAGGGUAGGAAUAAUAAUAAUUUUCUUAGUCAUUGCCGAAAUGGUGGUAACGACAGACAUGAAUAAAAAAGAAUCAAUUAAUAGCACCUUGGUAACCUUGUGACUUUCCUUGAUCCAAGUGUGAGUCAUGCGAUUCCGGCAGUAUAGGCCUUUACUACCUUUCACAUCUACUCAUACUCGUCCCAAGUAUUGUCUCGUAAUUCUCCAAGGCACAAAAAAUGAAAAAUCAUAUAGCAACGUAACACAUCAUAACAUACCAAGGUUUAUAUUAUUUCUUGAAACGAUUACAUAGAUGUUCAAGUUCACCCUGUACUAUGCCUCUUAUAUUAGGCUACACCACAUGAUACUACUUAUAUGGCUACUUUAUAGAUCCUUACUCCUAAUCCCUUGCAUCCUCACCUGCUUCAUUAAGGAUCAUUUGGAACACUCUUGCCAUUGGCUUUGGCGGUGCGUUUCGCUUUGUAGCUCCUUCCCUCUUUGGGCAGUCUUGCUUGAAGUGUCCUUCUUCACCACACUUAAAGCAUAAUUCUCUCUUCGUUGUGUAUUUGUUGGCAUAGUGACCAGUCUUCCCGCAUUUGAAGCUAGUAACCUAUUUAGAGCAUCUCCCAAUGUGCUUCCUUCUGCACUUUUCACACCACUUUUCUUCAUUUCUAUCCCCAUACAUCUUGUUGUUAGGGUCAGACUUCGGGAACCUAUUUUUCUUUUUGGAUCUCGAAGACCCCUCAAACUUCCUCUGCUCGCCAACUUCAACAGUAUUGGCGGUUCUGCCUUUGAUCAUUUCUUCAACAGACUUAGCAGCCCAGAUGUCUGCCUCAAGAGUAGGUGCAUGGCGCACUGGCAUAGUGUACUCCCAUGGCAGUCACUUUGUAUACUUAUUGAUUUUUGUUAGCUCGUCAGGGACGAUGCACAAAGAAAACUCCAUCUUGUCUGUGAAGGCAUUAGUGUACUCAUCAAUGGACCUAUUUCCCUUUUUUAAUGUCAGAAACUGGUUCUCUAGCUCUAGCAUGUUUUGGACAGAGCAAACUUGUGUUUAAAGUGUACCAAGAAUUCUGCCCAUGUCAGUUCUAGUGGCUCAUUGGGGCUUAUGAUCUUUCCUAAGGUGUUCCAUCAACGAACAGCCCCACCAUUAAACUGACGCACACAUAAGUGAUUUGCAGCUUGCCCUUGCAACCACAUGUUAUGAAACCUAGCUCCAUCUCAGAGAUCCAGUCCAUAACUCUGAAUGGAUCUUCUUUCGCAGUAAAGGUUGAUGGUUUUCAAGUCGUAAAGUCUUUAUACUUACAUUCUUUCUUUUUAAUUCCUUCAUCCUGGUUAUUUAUCCUAACCACUUAUGGUUUGGCUUGACUAAUGGUUCUAUUAUAGUUUCCUUCUUCUGACUGUUCAAUGUUUAGUUCAGGUUGUGUAAUGGGUGCCAAUGGUUCAUCCUUAUUGUUCAACAAUAUUUUCCUCAUCUCUUCCCUUUGUUCGUCCAUCAUAGCCCGAAUCAUUUCUUGGACUCCUGCCAUCGUGAUUGGCUCGGGUACAGCUACUACCUCUGGUGCAAACUCAAUCACUCAUGGCUUAGGUUGUUGAUUUGUGACAUCCCCAAAAUCUCGGCCAAAAAAGACCGAUUUUUCAUUUAUGCUUUUAAAAUAAUUUCAGAGUAAAUCCUUUUGAUUUGAAAGAGUUGCGGAAUUUGUUCCCAAAAACAAAGUAUGAUAAAAUAAUAUUUACCAAAGCAUUUCAUAAAGAAAUGUAUUUUUAUUAUAUAAUCAAAACUUGGGAUGUCAUGUUCCGAUACAGACCAUAAAGCAUAAACGAUAACAUUACAAGUCAUUCAACAAAUAUAUACAUAUAAAGACUUAUAAACAAAACAACUUGAUGAUUCAUCCAUCUUAUGCCCUUGCGCCACUUCCUGUAAUACAAAUAAAACUGAGUGGGUCAGGCUUGGGAGCCUGGUGAGCAUAUAGGGUUUUCAACCCAUAAUAAGUAAUUAACUUUAUUUUCAUUAACCAACAAUAACCCAAUUACCCAUUCCCGUUAUUCUCACUUUAUGUCCCUAAAACAACUAACACAAGGGACCUAGUCUAAGAAUAUUUCAUCGGGGCGACAACACAUGUGUUCGGGGGUUUCCCAGCAAUAUAUGUCAAAUAAGGCAACCAUGAGGGGGAUGGAGUACAGCGAAUGAACACCCAAGUUCAUUAACACCUACAAGUGGCGAGCCUGCUGGCAUUCCACAGGACUGUCUAGAAAAGUCUGUGGUCGUCAUCUAAACUCCGCUAGAUGACUGAAUCAAAAACAACAUCGAGGCCUCUCAUCUUUUUAUCACACAUCAACUAUCUACCCAUGUUCUACCCAACAUAUUAGUAGAUAAAAAUAUAUAUAAAUAUGUAUUUUUAUACAUAGUUUAAAACCUACAUAGCAUUCCCAUUCGAUACAUAUUCCAACCAACAGAUGAGACACAAACACAUAACACGUAUUACAUAGAGAAUAACUCAUAUCUAUGAGAUAGAAGAAAGUGAAUAUACAUUCACACAUAUAACAAAAAAUAUACACAUAACACGUAUUUCGUAUAAAAUACUUCAUAAUUAUGCAUUAGAAGAAAGUGACUACACACUCACUUGAUCAGAAGAUGAUCGGACAGCACUACGACUUGCAGAAGUAGUAUUCUUCGGUAAAUCUGGAAGAUCUUCACAAAAACCGGGCUCCUUGCGGGCAGAGCUUCGGCUCGGGAACUGCACUUCUUGGGAUCUUAGGGGCUUCGAGACUUGAUUCGGGGCUCGGGAAUAAUACCGGGGCUUCGGGAUAUGAUUGGCACGCAAAACGAUGCAAAACUUAGAGAGAAAGGAAGAAAAUGGCAAAAGAAAUCAGCAGCCUUGCAUGCCCUUAUAUAGGGGCUGAACCUCGCAUUACGCUGGGCGUAAUGCUCCGGUGUGCAAGGCGUACGCUUCGGAUCUUCACUGCAUGUGUCAUCGGAGCACUCGAGUGCGAGGCGAGUCAUGCUUCGAUGUACGUUGGGCAUAGUUCGGAUAGGAUCAGCGACUCCUUCGGAUAAGCUUUGGUAUGCAUGCCACAAUCUUCAAAAAUUCAUAAUUUUUGCAUACGAGCACCGUUUUCGACGUUAUUUAUAUCCACACGUAGGUGAGACUACGCUCUACAACUUUCGUUUAGACUCCGUCGGCUAAUUUUGACAUUAUUUUUAUUAUUUAUUUUUAGUAGGCCGGGACAGGAAAACUCCGUUAUAAAUUCAUAACUUCUUCAUCCGACAUCUGUUUUUGCCUAUCUUUUUAUCGUUUCACUACUAUUAACGAGAUCUUCGAUUCUCAUUUAGAUUGUUUCGGCUAAAAAACACUCGGUCUCAAAUCGAGUAUUCGGGCUGCAUAUUGUUAAGUCGAAACUUCGAAAAAUCAUAACUUCCUCAUACGAAGUCAGAUUUGGACGAUCUUUUUAUGCACGCUCUCGGUUUAACGAACUCUACGAAUUUUGUUUAGAUCACUAAGGCUAAAUAUCGCUCUAACUUAAAUUUCACUUUUUACGUCAUUCAGCGUUGCCGGUUCUGUUGCGAAACUUCGAGGGGUUAAAACUUCUUCGUUGUAACUCGGAUUUCGGCAUUCUUUAUAUAUUCAGAAACCUCGUUUCAACUACUACAACAUUAUCCAUAUAUAUAUAUAUAUAUAUAUAUAUAUAUAAUGACUUNUUUAUAUAUUCGGAAACCUCGUUUCAACUACUACAACAUUAUCCAUAGAUAUCCACUUUAUCUAACAUUUUAUUUUGACGCUUAUUUUCAUUUUUAAUUUAAUUAAGUCACACAACUAAGCACAAAACACAUAAUACUCAAAUAAUACAUCUUUAUUAUAUCAAGAUGGGUUACAAGGGUUAACCUAGAGUAUUACAUUGCUAUUAAUGACAAGCCCAAAAACACGGGCGUUACAUGAUUACCGUUUUCAAAUCCACUUCGAGUUCUCACCAUAUCGAUCUAUACACCAAAUCAGACGUUCGGUGUGCAGUGACGAGAAUUAAGAUAGGGAAAUCUUUAUUUAUGAUAGACGUAUAAAUCUCCUUAUCACUCUGAAGACUUACAUGCCAGUUCUAGUAUCGUAAUUAAAACUUUAUAAAUCUGAACAGAUAAAAUUUCCAAAUCUGGUUGGCAAUAGACCAUUGAUCUGAUAGCAUCGUAAAGCAUAUAAGGCAUAUUAUAACAUAAAUCAUUUAACAUAUAAAGCAAUUUAGGCAUCCCUCCUAAAUAAGCUAGUGCUCGUGUCUAUUCAGGCAUACAUCCUAAACAUAGCAUACACUCAUCUAACAGUCAUCACUUAGCAUUCUAAUUUUAAGUUUAGAAAUAAAUCCUUACUCCUAGUUCGCUUAAACUAGUGCUAUGAUAUCAACUCUGACAUCCCCAUUUUCACAUCCAGAAAAGACCGAUUUGUUUAUUCUAAUUUUAAAAUAAGAGUAUCCUUUUUGAAAAAUAGUAUUGCGAAAUUUGUUCCCAUAAAGCAUGAUAAUGAUAUUAUCAAAUCAUUUCUGAUGUAAUGUAUUUUAUUGGUAUUAAAACAUUAGGAUGUCAUCGUCAAUAAAGAAACAUAAGUAUAACGAAAUAUUACAAGGCUUACAGUAAUUAAACUAAUGGCCUAAUACUCCUUGAAUUUUUCAGCAUAAUGUAUCUUUCAUAUAGCCACCUGUGAUACAAUAAACUGAGUGGGUCAGGUUGGGAAACCUGGUAAGUACAUAUGGAUUUCAAUCCUACAAUGUGAUAAUAAGGUAUAACUCAAACUUGAAAAUCCAACUAUUAUCAUUAACAUAGAUAUAUCAUAUCUCUAAAACAAUUUAUCAUAUUUCGUCGAUUCCUAAGUAUAGAUCCUAUACAAUGAUCUUACAAGAUCUAGCCUAAACGAUCAAUAUGAACAAAAAACUGACGAUGCUGUUUUGGAAAUUCCCUGACAGAAAAUGAGGAUCAAUAAAUACAUCAAAUGAGGGGAAUGGAAUAAGUUUCACCAUUAACCUCUGUUCGUAAAACAAGACAAUUAAGUAACGGAUGGUUAUCUAGAUAACUAUGCCUAGUAGCGGUAUGAUACCGCGAGGUAUUUUACCCCCAGACUAACCCUAUCCGGUAAUACAACAUCACAAUUUUCCUAGCAGUGGUCUGACACCGUCAGGUAUUUUCCCCCCAGACGUACCCUAUCUAGAAAUACAACAUCGAACAUACCUGGUAGUGGUCUAUUACUGACACACUCUAUUAGGUAGUCUAUGAAGUUCCCUCAAAUUUUUCGUGAAAGGAAAUGCUGACACAUGAAGCUCGUCCGAUCACUUCAUAAAAGAAAUGAUAAAUCCAAAACUCUUCAAUAUAAAAAGUAUGGGGAAAUACUAAUAAAGCACUCUCGUACGCUCCAGUACCCCGACACACAAUAGUGUCUAAAAGAUGGACUUUGUACAUGACACUAUUUCUGGCACAUUAUAGUACCCUGGCAUGAGUAGGACUCGUACCCUAGAACAUAAUAAUACCCCGGCACAAGCAAAACCAAAGACACAAAUCUUUGAAAAAGGACUUGGUACAUAGAAAGUACUUUUGUACGUAGGACAUACUCCAUCGAGCAUCAAUCUCCUCAAAAAAAGUUUCUACUCUCUAUUCCAAUCACACGCGUACCCUUAAUAUGAUACUACCCAAUAUCCAAACUUAAUAGUACUAAACAUAUCUUUUAAGUCGUAUUUCAUCAUUAAGCAAGCCUACAAUGCUUAUAAUCAACUUUCAAUACUAACUUUGUUUCAGCAAUUUCGUAAUGUUUUAUACAGAGUAUUAAGUAUUUACAUACAUUUAUCUUCUUAUUUAUAAUACUUCUAUGAUUAUUAUCAUGUAAAUACAUCUCAACACAUAUAGAACCAUGUUUAGUUCGCAUAGCGUAUAUCAUCAAAUAUACAUAUAACACAUAUUCCCGUAUAAUAAGCAUAUACAUAACANNNNNNNNNNNNNNNNNNNNNNNNNNNNNNNNNNNNNNNNNNNNNNNNNNNNNNNUUUUAUUAACACUUGUAUUAAAAUCAUGUUCAUGAAAGGUACUAUGCACUCACUUGUUAAAGUGACGACUUGAAUUUUGGGUAGCACUUCGCUUCUAGCAACUGUCUUUUCCUUUGACGUAACCAAGCAUUAUUAUCGCUAAGUUUUAGUCUAAUAUUUAUUGUGACUAAUUAUUAGUCUAGAUUCAUCAUUAACUAAAAAUCUACUUCAAGAUCUAUCAAGUAAAGAACAACCAGGUAGGAUUAUAUUAGAGGUAGGGUUUGUUUGGUUUACAAAGUAUACUGUUCGGAAAUCCCACUUUAAACACCUCACUAAAUCACAACCUCGACAUCAUCCCCGUAAGUAGUUCAAUCAAUAUAACAACUUGGAAUCAUUGAUAAAUCUUGUUUAUAGGUUCAUAAUAAUGAUAAUGAACUUAAACAUAAGUUAUACUUAAAGUAGGGUAAUCAUAACUCACUUACAAGGGAGUUUAGCUAGGAACUGGGCUCUAUGUGGAUAGAACUUCUGAGCUGAAAGCUCUUCUUAUCGGGGCUUUAUGGCGCUCUGGGACUCGCUUCUAACACCUAGGAGGUGCUAGGGAAAGGCAUAGAGGGUUUGGGAGUGUUUGGGAGAGAAAGGGUUAGAAUGUGUGAAUGAAUAAAGUGAUUUGCGCCCCUAUUUAUAGCAUGCCCGAAGGUCGUACGCUGGGCAUACUCGAUGGGUACACUGGGCAUACUCAUGCCAUGUGUCACCAUCUGGUGGUAAGGCGUGAGGAGGAAGCCAUGGCUCAGAUCACACCACAUGUCCCUCGCUAGUUACUCCAAAAACUAAUUAUCUUCUAAAAUAUGUAACUUUUGCAUACGAGCUCCGUUUUUUACGUUCUUUAUAUCCACCCAUAGGUAUCGACGGGAUCUACAACUUUAGUUUAGUCUCCGUCGGCUAAGUUUGACUUUAUUUUUAAAGUUAUAUUUUAAUUGGCUUAGACAGUUAAAGUCCGUUAAAAAUUCAUAACUUUGUCAUCCGACAUCCUUUUUCGACUGUCUUUAUAUGGAUGAGCUCUUAUUAAUGAGAUAUGUAAUUCUCAUUUAGGUUGUGUUGGCUAAAAAUUAAUCAAUCUAAAAUUCGAUUUCCAGGCUGUGCACUGCUAUGCUAAAUCAUAGAAAAAAAAUCAUAACUUCCACAAACAAAGUCAAAUUUUGACGUUCACUAUAUGCACGCUCUCGGUUUAACAUAAACUAUGAAUUUUGUUUAGAUCUCUCAGGCUAAAAAGUUGUUUAUCAAAAGUCCACUUUUUACAUUACAUGACGUUGUGUCGGUAUAGUCACAUAACUUCAAUGGGUCAUGACUUCUUUGUUAUAAGUUGAAUUUUAGUGCUCUUUAUAUGUAUGGAAUCGUUGCGACAUAUGCUAUAACUUUGGUUAAGAUUAUUUAUUCUAAAUAUUCUUCUAUAAAAAAAUAUUUUGAACGCGUAUUGUCUCUAAAUUGACUAGCCCGAAUCUGUAGGCGUUACAAAAGAGCAACCAUCAAAGUAAUAAUUCUUGUUAUCAUCUACUGAAUCAUAAUCUGAUAAAACCUUUCCUGUUGAUCUUGAAGACACAAUGUUUUUAUGGAUUUGAGUCAUUUAACUUGUAGGUUACAAAUGGCUCUUCUCUUGCCCAUGUUGAACAUGAACCUUGGAAAGCAUAUGAAAUUCUUCAAUGAUAAAUGGCCUCAUCACUCUUGAUUCAUAAUGAGAUGUUUACUGAUGAGUUUAUCUUUUCUUAUGCUUUCUUUUAUAGCUAAAAAUUCAAGGGGUAGAUAUCUUGGAAAACGGGAAUGCGUUAAUGACCAUUCAAUUCCAAAGAUUUAAUGGAAAAGGUUUAAUCUCCUUUUCGAAAAAGUUACACAUAUUUCCUUGUUUGACUAACUCUUUUGUAUUCUUAUUAUGUAUCAUUUUUAUGAAAAGGAAUAUGACGGUGGCAACUUUAAGCCUAAUAUGCAGGUUUUGACGCAUCAUCAUUACUAGAAGCAUGUUGUUGUAUGUGACAAAAUCUCUCUAAGUUUCUCAUCAGCGAGACCAUUUGCUGAGAACAUUGAGUCACCCACUUACACUGAUUGUCUAGCAUUGUCUAAACUUUCAAUGUGAGAUUUCCUGGUCCUAAUAAAAAAGUUAUCUUAAGGGUUGGGUGUUUAUUUUAAAAUUAAUUAACUUACCUGACUCUGUCCCAUGACGCAUGUUUGUCGUAUGCAUCAAUUCUUAUGUUCUGCUGAAACAUUGAGGAAAACCAAAUGGCUUACCCUGAUUGCAUAGUCAUUAGCAUAAGAGAUACUUGUCUUGUCCUUAAUGAAAAAUGGUUGUUCAUUUCCUUCACCUCAUAGUUUGAGGUAUGAUGUGGUACCAUUAUGAAAUAAUGAUGAAUAUUUUAUUCUAGAUUGCAACUUAAUCUAUGAUACAGAAGCUUAAACUACUUCUUAUUGAUGAGUUAAACCGUUAGGGAUUCACGUUGAUUUCACCUUUGCAUGACUGAAAGAAUCCAUUAUUUCCCUUAUAUUCUUCUUUAAAGUUUUAUGAUUCAACGUAAUGUACCAUACGUUGAUGAGAGCUUGAAAAUUUUGUGCUGAUGUGUAUAUCUUUGUCUGUGAUAUAUUACACGCACCUAUCUACUCUUGCCAUUUUUCUUCUAAUAAAAGAGAUUUAUGAAUCAGUGUAUGACACCACACGCUGAUGAGAUCUUGCAAUACUAUGUCGAUGAAUGAUGGUUUAAACCUACACUAUUAGGAGCCAUCAUAAUCCUUUACUACAAAGCUGCAUCACCGAUACUCUCCUUCACUUUUGUUCUCCUACUGAUAUCAAAAGGGGGAGAACUGGAUAUUCAACUAGGAGUUAAAGGGAACGUGCUAAAUUUGUGGGGGAGUUAAGCUAAAGGGAACUAUUCUCAAUUUAAGGGGGAGUUAAGUUGAUUGUUGAUAUUUUCAUCCUCAACUAAUCGUGUCUUUGUUAGUUUGUUGUUCUUCAUAACCAUGUCAAAUUUGUUAUCUCAACUGCUUGAAAAAUAAAAAAUGGGAAGUCACUUUUAUUCUCAGGGGGAGCACUCAUUAACAUUGAUGAGUUAAACAUUCAUUCCUAUUCUCAAGGGCAGAAUGACUAAAGAAUUCAUUGAAGAUUAGUUUUGGCAUCAUCUGAUAGGGGGAGACUGUAAGGUCACACCUUAUGAUCUGAUGAGUCAAACACUCUACACUACCUAUCAAUGUCAGCCUCAACUACGACGACAUCGCCAACAUAUCAUGCUUAUCUGUGUUAGCGUAUAACAUAGUUAUUCUAUGUAUUCUUGUGUAUAUUAGGUAAUGAUAUAGAUAAUUAUAAAAUAGACCAUAGAUCCAGUAUCUUUGUGAUCAGAUCGGUUCUUAUACAAUCCAUUUAAUCAUGGGAUUGAUAUGUAUAGAUAAGUAUAUAUACAACAUUAGGGAAAACCCUAAAGUUGUGAGAACACGGCUUGGUGUCGUAUUUGUCUUUGGGACAACUGUCUUCUUGGUGAGGACAAAACCUUUAUUAUGGUGAAAGAAACAAUUUGGAGAACUCUCUGCGUCUUUUAAUUAUGUUCUUUAUUUUUUGUUCUUUAAGUUUCUCUUUAGUCUUUAUACUUGAAGUGUAUCUGAUCAAUACAAACCUUCAAUCAUUUUCUUCAUUAAGGGUUUAAUCCUUAAAAACAUAGACUCAUAACCUCAAAUCUGGUAAUUAAUAGCUUCAUAAUGGAUAAAGUUUCCAACUUUAUCAAUUAGGAUGGCCUAAACAACCAAGAUCUUGACUUUAAGUCUUAAAGGCGCCAAGAAUAUAUCGUUCUCAACUUAAUCCAUUAAGUGCAGGUCUCCAACCUUCAUAUCUAAAUGAACAUGAUGUUUAGAUGGAUAAAGCUUCCAACUUUAUCCAUAAUAAUGCCACACACUUUCAAGAUCUAAAUUUUAAUACACCAAAAUGACCUAAAGGACCAAGAUAACUUGCAUGACUUAAAGGGAAGGCAAAAGUUCAUAACUUUCCUAGUCCAUGAGCUCCAAAAAGCAAUCCAAGCUGAUUAAAAGAUGAUAGAGUCCACUCAAAUCCAAGAUCACCCAUAAAAUGGACCAAAAGUGAAUAAAAGGGACCAUUAGCAAGAUCUAACAACUAGAAAGGAAAUGUUACAGCUUUUUAAUUAUAAAAGUCCAAAAAAGGUAUGAAAUUUAUGGAUCCAAGCUUGAAAAAAUAUUCCUUGCAACCAACUAGACUUUCUUGAUCUUCAGUCUUCAUCAAAUCACCACCAAAAUGCACCCAAAAAUGAUUCAAGGAGAUAGGAUAAGCUCACUUUACUCAAAGGAGGCUAGGGUUUCACUUAAGGAAUGAUAUAGAGGUUUUGGAGGCUAGAAAUGAUCAAACCAUAAGAGUAAUAGCCUUUAAAUACCUCAAAAAAUCUUAGAAAACGUGGAUGCCACUAGGCCAGGGGUGCCUCACACUUUUAAAGGGCGCUUCACGUUUUCCGAUAAACUCUAGAUUUUUCUGGUUUUCAACUUCAGUUUCAAAACGAUCGUAACUCCGUUUCAGUGAUCUUUAUAUGUGCACCAAUGUAUUGACAAGCCUUACGGUUCUAUCUACUUAUUUUUGUCUUAAAUCAUACAUAAAUUAAUUUAUUAGUACACACAAAAGUAUAGAAUAUUACUUUUCCCAAUUUACCCAUUUUGCUCCAAUGCAUAGUUUGAGGGAUUAAAACACUUAACCAACAUUAUUAACAUCGAAUAAGGUUUAAAAUCUAUUCCUUUGAACCCACGACCUUUGAUGUGUGCAAACUCACUUAGUUUUAAACCUACUUUUAAUUAUCAAAUAACACACAAAAGGCAGUGAACCUAUCAAUUGUGGUAUAGCUAAAUAAGUAGGGUAUCGAACACAGGGAACGACAAAUUAAACUAAAAACUAAUUUAAUCUAAGUUAAUUAAGAAGUAGGGGUUUUUCUCUAGUUUUACAAGACUAGAAACUUACUAACUAUUACUAAUUUAAGACUAGAAAAUAACGAUUUAACUACAUUUAAUAAUUGGAAAGGAACUUCUGUUUAGUUCAACUUGGUUAACUCUAUGGUUGAUUUCAAGGUAAUAGUGCAAUGGAUUAAUUCUUUCGUUGGUUACCGAUUCAAGUGAUUAGAUUCGUGUUCACUACCCUAAUCCUUAGCAAAUAAACUAACUCAAACAGUGGCCAAUUGUCUAAUUUAAUUAUAUUCACUAGAUUAAUUAUUCGGGUUAAGUUAGACUUGCAAUAGUUAACUAAUUUAUUCUUUUUAAUUAACCUCUUGUUUGAUAGUCAUCUUACAAGCUUGCACAUGAAUUUACUCAAUUUUCUUAUUAAUUCUAGUUUCAUAUUCAUUAAUCCUAGACAUAUAGCAUAGUGAUCACAUAGCAUAUGAGGUCAAUAAUCAAUAGAUGUUCAUGCUAAUCAAUUAUCUUCCUAUUAACAGAAAAUUAAUUAUUAUUCACACACAAGGUUCUUUAACAAGCUAAAAUAACAAAAAUUCACCAACUUGGAAUUGAUCCUACCAAUCAAUCAAACCAUAUUGUCAACUUUGUAUCCCCAAACAGAAGUCUAAAGGUUUUAGCUCAUAAUUAAAGUAAAUAACAGCAGACAAACAAAGUCAAGUUGCUUAAUCAUAAUGAAUAAACAAAAGAAUAAAUGGAAUGAUGAAAUUUUGCCUUAAUUACUCUCCGGAAUUGAAUUCUAGCUUCCUUCGUCGUCUUCUAGGGUUUUUCUGGCUUCUCAAUCGUAGCAAAGCACUUCUGAAUCGUCCCAGAACUCUCCUCAAUCGAUCUGUGGAAUUAUCUUUAAAUAUACGAAUCGACUCGUCGAGUCCCUCUCACAUUCCCCGUAUUGCGAUAACUCUCUGGGAUCCCGAGUCAUUAUCUUCUCGAUUCUUCGAUUGGACUCGCCGAGUAGUCGAUCUGACUCGCCGAGUAGGUUCCUUUUAUAGUGUUUUUAUUCUUUAUUCCAUUCUCGAUCUUCUAACUGUUUCUCCCGCUUCCUUUCGCUUCCGAGCUUCAUCUUUGGACUGAAAAACAUAAUUUAACACUUUUAAGUACCUUUUGUCCAUAAUAUGCGAUAAUUAAGCUAAUAAAUGAAUAAAAAUGUAUACUUAAUAUGAACUAAUUAUGCACAUAUCAACCUUUUCUCGGUCAAAUCACGAUCCAUUAUCCUGAAAUCAGGACCAUUCGAAACUAGAUGUUACAGUUUGGCUUGUGGGUUUCGAAUAUGGGUGCUCGAAGGCCCGGUUUAUGAAAAUAAAUUUCCUAAUGUGGCAAAAAUACUUUGCAAAAUUACUCCAAAACCCUUUAGCUUUAAUUUAAUUAUAUAAAUUGUCCUAUGGAAACACAAAUGUAUUCUUUUAUUCAAAAUUACAAUUUAAAUUUUGUUAAUAAGGUUAACAUGUACUCAAAUAAAAUUUAAUAUUUAAGGGUUAUAAUUAUGGGUUUACGGGUUAUGGUUUAUCGCUUAUAAAUUACAUUGUAUGGUCUACGGUAUAAGACUUAGUGUGUAUAGUUUAUAGUUUACAAUGUAGGGCGUAAGGCUCAAUACAUAUGCAAUGUAACAUUUAAGGGUUACAAGCAAUACGUACGUCGUAAGCUAUAACCACUAGACCUCAAUCCUAAACCCCUAGGCACAAAAAUAUACAGGAAACCAUAUGGAGCUCAUCAAAAUACCAACAUAAUUUCAUUCCAUAACAAUAAUUGUAACAAAACACAACAGUUAAUUUACUCCAGAUCUAAAUAGUAAUGAAUUUGAACUCCUCAACAAAUUUGAUCAAAAAUUUAAUUUCGUAGUGAAAUUCCUAACAAUGUAGCUAGGCCUUUUUUCCAUAGUAAACAAGCAACAUAAAUAAAAUUUUGUAUCAUAAUUUCGUAGGUAAAUAGAUAUGAAUGCUACUUCCAUAGCAUAGUAACUAUGGGAUUUCUUUCCAUUAGAAAAUUCAACUUCAAAUUAACCAUAAUAUUUAAUUUGGUGGCAAAAUUACAAUGGAAUGUAUUUUCGUAAACAAAUUCGUUGCAAAUUUGUCACACCCCAAAAAUCAAAGGCGGAAACAUUUUCGGGGUUGACUCCAAGUUGUGUAUCAAAUCCAAUGUACAUAGUAAUCACAGUAAACAACCAUUACAUUACAUAUAUAUGAAAGUUUACAUUUGGUUCAAAAGUAAAUUGUACAAAAGUUAUACAUAUAUCAUAUGAACAAAACGAGACGAGUCUUCCACGCACUCUAUCUUCACCAAAAGAGAUCACUGGGUACCUGUCUAAUGUGUACCUGAGAAUACAAGUAGUUUGAAAAUCAGCAUAAAGCUGGUGAGUUCAUAAGCGGUUUUGUUUUAUGAAAAUGUAUUGGUUUCCUUUAGUUUUCCGAAAAGGUUUGGUAUCCAAGAAAAUCCCAUAUUUUCUUAUGUUUCUCAGUUUAGUUAUCUUUCGUCAUAGUUCAGUUACACGUUAUAUGUUAACCCCAGGAAAAUCCCAUAUUUUCCUAAAUGUAAGAUUGAUUGAAUAACACAAAGUAUAGUUUAAUACACAAACUAUAUAUUGAAAAUCAUGGGAUUACUAUCCCGAAUCAGAUAUGAAGUACUUUAAUAUACAUGAAUUGUAGAUAAAAUGUAGUUUGAAAACCUUGGGACUAUCAUCCCGAACUAGUUAUAAGAUAGUUUGAUAUACUUGAAAUUAUAGAUUGAAAACCAUGGGAAUACUAUCCCGAACUAGAUAUAAGAUUGUUUGAUAAAACCAUGGGAUCACUAUCCCGAACUAGAUAUAAGAUAGAUGGAUAAAGCCAUGGGAUUAUUAUCCCGUACAAGAUAUAGGUUGAAAUCAUGGGACUAUCAUCCCGUACUAGAUACAAGUUCGAUAGACUGAAAACCAUGGGACUACCAUCCCGGACUAGAUACAUGAUAGUUUGAUAAAACCAUGGGAUCACUAUCCCGAACUAGAUAUAUAUUCUAAAACCAAAGCUGUGAAUAAACUUAUAUUAAUACAUAUUGUAAGUCGGGUAACCAUGUUGAUAUGACAACGAGACCUCCCUGACGUUAGUCAGACAUCGGACGAUAUCCAGAAUUUGUCACCCCAGGCGUGCCCGCCUAACUGUAGCUAGCAGUUAAGGUGUGGGAUUGUCAGUCCCGAAUAGAUCUAUUCACAAAUUCCUCGCUCUCCCUCCAGGAGACUCUGGUUACACUUCCGGGGAGGAUUUACUGAUCAUCCAUAAAGGGUAGUGACUACUCACAAACUAGUACUAAACUAUUCACAGGAUUCUCAUACGAUAUCAAACAUACAAAGAUUAUGAAACAUNNNNNNNNNNNNNNNNNNNNNNNNNNNNNNNNNNNNNNNNNNNNNNNNNNNNNNNNNNNNNNNNNNNNNNNNNNNNNNNNNNNNNNNNNNNNNNNNNNNNNNNNNNNNNNNNNNNNNNNNNNNNNNNNNNNNNNNNNNNNNNNNNNNNNNNNNNNNNNNNNNNNNNNNNNNNNNNNNNNNNNNNNNNNNNNNNNNNNNNNNNNNNNNNNNNNNNNNNNNNUUUAGGCUCGCGAGCCUAAUCGAGCUUUGUGACAUAGGCUUUAGCUCGGGCUCGUUUAAUAAACAAGCUUAAUAUUAAGCUCGAGCUCGGCUCGGGCUCGUUUAAAAUCGGUUUCGAGUCGAGCUUUUAACGAUCCGAUCUCGAGUAGCUCGCGAGUAGCUUGGCUCGUUUGCACCCCUACAUAAAGGGUAGUGACUACUCACAAACUAGUACUAAACUAUUCACAGGAUUCUCAUACGAUAACAAACAUACAAAGAUUAUGAAACAUAAUACAGUGAGAAUAGAUACAUACUAUGAAAUUAUCUGGAAAUACAUUCAAAUGAUACGGAGAUAAACUGAAUGAGACAUAGUUUAUGUAAUAACUUUAUACAUAUGUCAGUACAUGAUAGAAAGAGAACUAUAGAACCCCAAAUUAUUCCCAUAAUAAUUUGAUUAGUUUGGUUAUUUUCUUAACUAAAAUCCAUUUAGUUGUAAUUGAUAAAUCAUUCCUUAUGCUCAGUAUAAUACAUAAGGAGUAAAAGUGUUUAUAAGUUUGCCAGAUAUUAUUUAAUACAUAUCAAUAUUAUGAUUUGAAAAUAGUUAUAGUUUGCUUGUAUUCCCCCCCUGAAAACAUUGAAAAACACAGAAAAGGCGUAGGGGUAUGAACUCACCGGACGAGAAAUGUGACGAUUUGGUUGCUAAGUGUUGGUCCGGGGCUUGCAAACACACGAGGUUCCUAAGUAUAAUGUAAAGAUACACAUUUGUAUCUAAUUAGGACUUAGAUUGAUUAUUUGAUAGGGACAAUUGCUUCUAGUCGCGAAAACACCCCGAUACAAAUGUUUGGAGGGACCCGGGUAACAUUUGGGGACACAUAUAGUUAGGAUAUUGAAUUGGGACUCCAAAAGAACACUCCUUAGGGAGUUUACGGCCCUAAUGACCCUCUCCCCAUGAGUUUACGGCCGUAAACUCAUGGUGGGGUGAUUUAUGGCACAAAAUGGCUUGAAACAUUUAGGGGAUAAUUUCUAGGCUUGGUUUAAGGGCUUGGAAUUAUUUUUAAACACCAAAAUGACAUACAUAAGGGAGUUUACGGCCUAGCAUAGGAAUCAUGGCCGUAAACUCUCAAAUAUCCAUGAAUAAGUGUGUUAUUGGUUCCAAACAAAUCACAUGUGAUUGCUAAAAUUAUUCCAAGGCCUUACAUGAGUUUUUAUGGGACUUUUGAGGAGUUUUUGGAGUUUACGGCCCAUGAGACCCCCUCAUGGCCGUAAACUCUCCUAUAGAGGGAUUCCUUGUGUUUUAAGGCCAAAAACCUGUUUGUAUGCACUUUUAGAAAUUAUUCCAAUGCUUUAGGGGUGUUAAAGUGGCUUUCUAACACCUUAAAAUGAGUUUACACCGUGUUUCAAGGAGUUUACGGCCCAAGCACAUGCCUUGGCCGUAAACUCAUAUAAGUCCUCCAAAAAUUAUGUUUAAAGUGUUCCGAGGCUAAAGCAAUUAUUCUAGAAGUCAUAUCCAUGUCUUGUUGAGGUUUUGGAAGGGUUUAAGGGCUUUAAAACCCUUUAAUCAUGAGUUUACGGCCUAAACACCAUCCUUGGCUGUAAACUCAUAUAUAAGUCCCCAAAUUAUAGAUUAAGGCAUUCUAGGUCCAUUUCAUAAAGUCAUUAAGCCAUAUCUAAGUCCCAAAAUUGUUUAGGAGGGGUUUAANUUGUGUUUUGGAAGGGUUUUUGUGCUCCAAAACCCAUUUCAUAUGAGUUCACGGCCUAGGACUAUUCCAGGGCCGUAAACUCAUGAAUGUGGUCCUAUUCCAUGUUUUGAACUCGAAUUUGAAGGCUAAGGAGGUUACAUAUCAAGUUAGGGAAGGUACCUCAAAGAUUUGGAGCCUAAAAUUGAUGAUUUGGACCCUUAAACUUGGAUUUUAGGAGAGAGGUUAGAGAGAGAGAGUAGAGAGAGGAAGAAAAAGCUUCAAAUGAAUGUUUAAACACGUUUAUAUAGUUCCCAAAACUUGGACAUAGAGGAAUUCUACCCGAUACCGGCCUUAAACGAGGUUUUAGGUCACACCCGAUUAAGUUUCCGUCACCCGGCGGGGACGUUUCUAAAAAUUAUGAAAUAAAUAUUUUUGGGCUAGAUUCAUGAGUUCCUAAAAGGUUUGGACACUCAUUGGAUUAAAAUAAACAUAUACAUUUAACUAACUAAACCCAAAAACGACAUCGGAAUGUUUCGACAUACGACGAGUUAUACGGGUAGAAUGGGUUUUCGGCGAUGAACAACUUCGGGUUGUUACAUUAUCCCCCCGUUAGAGGGAAUUUCAUCCUGAAAUUCAAAGAAUAAGAUAUAGAUCAUGAAUUUGGAAUGAGACACGAAUAGAUUUGUUGCCUCAGAUCUUCACUUUCUCAAGUGGAAUCAGGUCUCUAUUGGGCGUUCUAACGAAUUCUCAUUAUCGGGACGUGUCUUUGUUUCGUACUUUGACUCUCUCUCAAUCUAUGACAUCAAUUGGUUUUCUCAUGGAAGUUCCAACCCUGGACGACUUUGGUUUCCUCAAGGAAUCACUAUGGUUUCGUUGGGUAGAUGCUUCUAAGGAUUCGAGACAUGAUGUACUAGAUAGAUGUUAGCAAGCUCUAAGGGCAUCCGAAAUCUGAAGGUUGCAGAAUCGAUUUCUACAAAGAUCUCGAAGGGUCUGAUGUGAGACUAAACUAGACGUUCGAAAGAAACUCCCGGGAAUCCUUCGGGAUAGACAUUUAGAGGAAAGAGCUGUUAACUUCCCGUUUCUCAAUAAUCACAGAAAUGAGGGAUGUUUGGUAAUUCAUAUCGGGAAAACUUUUGAGUUCUAAGGCAUGGAAUGAUACGAAGGUUUGAUGCCAAAGAUCACGAGUACCGGGUCGAGAAAAGACCUAGACGAGCAACCCUUUCGAAACCAAGGAUAACAACAUGAAUGAGACUCGGUCAUUUCAUGUUAAACAUAGCAUCAAAGUAUUUUUGUAGAAAGUUUCCCUCUUUUUAAAUCGAAUGGAACAGAAUAGUCCUCCGGACUGAGGAUUCAAUCUAUAGGUACGAAGUUAGCGUUCUCUAUCUCACUGGUUAGUCAUCUCGACGGUACAUAUUUCGAUUACAUACGAAGGAUUGAGCUUAGAAAAUGUUCGAAUAGAUAGAUAACAGGUUUCCCUUUUUGUACUAAAAUCGAAAAGAGUUACAGGUAUAAGAAUUAUCAAAGAGAAGUAUACCUGCGGCGACAGAGGGAUCAGUAGUCGUAGCUGCCUUGGGGCAAUUCCUUUAGAAGUGCCCAGCUUCACCACAAUUGUAACAGACCGGACUAAUUCCCGCUCCGGAUGAUUGGUUCGUUGAUUUGGCUGGUUUUCUGCAUGUUCGAGCAAGGUGGCCCUUAUUGCCACAGUUGUCGCAGAUCCUUUCGCGACAUGGACCAGGAAUGCGGUGGUGGUAGUUGCACUUACCACACCAAGGAAGGGUACCAGUGUAUCCANNNNNNNNNNNNNNNNNNNNNNNNNCGCUCUUCCGAUCUAGCAACAGGGGCAGUAGUAGCAUGGACUGCUACUGUUUGCUGUUUCUUAGAAGACCCUUGCGUACUCUGGCCCUUCGGCUUGUUCCAAGAUUUCUUUUUGCUUCUGCCUCCACUGGUGACUGGCUCGGGAGUAGUAGCUUCCUCAUCAAAGUUGUCUUCGUGAUCGAUCAAGAUUUUCGCAAGACAUUUAGCGCUGUCAUAUGUGUCUAGCUUUGCAGCUAAGACAUUACCUUUUGUUGGCUGGGUCAACCCCCAGAUGAACCUCUCAAUCUUUUUACUCUCCGGGGUAACCAUUCCCGGACAGAGUAACGCCAGAUCAUCGAAUCUUGAAGUAUAAGCAGCUAUGUCGGAACCCUUCAUCUUAAGGUUCCAAAGUUCGUGUUCUAGCUUCUGGAGUUCACCCCGAGGGCAAUAUUCUGCGAGUAGAAGCUCCUUCAUAGCUUCCCAACCCAUAGCAUUCGCUACAGGUAAAGUUAAAGAUUUGACUCGGCCGUUCCACCAAGUCAGGGCUUUGUCUAGGAAGGUGCAGGCGGCAAACUUUACUCUAUCAGACUCCGAACAGGCGCAUAUUUCAAAGAUUGAUUCGAUUUUCUCGAACCAUCGGGUUAAAGCAAUGACACCCCCUGUGCCAUCAAAGGAUGUCGGUUUUGCAUUCAUGAAGUCUUUAUAGGAACCCCCUUUUUGGUGUCCCUGGCUAUCUUCUGGGUUUUAGGGUUGGGGACCACCUCCUGAGUUACCAGGGUUCAUUUGCGACAUGGCUGCUACCAUUGCAGCAGUCAGAACUGUCUGAAGUGAUGCAAGAUCAAAUUGAGGAGGAGGUGGUGGCGGAGGAGGAUUGCUGUUGUUCUUUGAGCUGGGUCUCUUUCUUGGAGGCAUCUUGAUCUAAAAAGAUCAGAAAAGAGAGGAUCAUAAGUCCUUUGAAUUGAAUCAAGAGAUAAGAAACAGAGGAUAUCUCUUCAAGACAGAUAUAGCAUCAUACAAAGCGAUAAAGCAGGAAGGAGUUAUCAAGACAGAACAUUUUAUCGCUAAAGGAAUGAUCAAGGAAUAAUGCGUAUAUGAGAACUUUCUACCAAGGGUUGGCUCGAGAAAUACUCCCAUAGUAUUUCAUAGUUUGCUGCAGCGACGAUUCGUUGUUUGGGAUAUUGGGUAUGUUUUAGGCAUGCUGCGUACCACAGUCACUCCCAAGCACAUGUUGGCCGUGUCUCGAAUGAAUAUAGUUGGCCAGGCUAUAUUGAUCCUAGACACGACUACAUAACUGCUCAAGUUUAACCGCAGUGUACAACACCUAUUUACUUAUGUUUUGUUCUACUUGUAGUUACGGAUCUCGACGGUUCGGUAUACUUGUAUACUUUUGAAAAUACUUAUAGUUUGAAGAUACUUUUAAUUCAGAGCACUGAGGCCCUUUAGUGUUUAUAGUUUUAUACCAUGUAAGGUUUGGUAUACUCUAUUCACUAUAAACAAGGGCUCUGAUACCAAUCUGUCACACCCCGAAAACCNGGUUGACUCCAAGUUGUGUAUCAAAUCCAAUGUACAUAGUAAUCACAAUAAACAACCAUUACAUUACAUAUAUAUGAAAGUUUACAUUUGGUUCAAAAGUAAAUUGUACAACAGUUAUACAUAUAUCAUAUGAAAAAAACGAGACGAGUCUUCCACGCACUCCGUCUUCACCAAAAGAGAUCACCGGGUACCUAUCUAAUGUGGACCUGAGAAUACAAGAAGUUUGAAAAUCAGCAUAAAGCUGGUGAGUUCAUAAGCGGUUUUGUUUUAUGAAAAUGUAUUGGUUUCCUUUAGUUUUCCGAAAAGGUUUGGUAUCCAAGAAAAUCCCAUAUUUUCUUAUGUUUAUCAGUUUAGUUACCAUUCGUUACAGUUCAGUUACGCGUUAUAUGUUAACCCCAGGAAAAGCCCAUAUUUUCCUAAAUGUAAGAUUGAUUGAAUAACACAAAGUAUAGUUUAAUACACAAACUAUAUAUUGAAAAUCAUGGGAUUACUAUCCCGAAUCAGAUAUGAAGUACUUUAAUAUACAUGAAUUGUAGAUAAAAUGUAGUUUGAAAACCUUGGGACUAUCAUCCCGAACUAGUUAUAAGAUAGUUUGAUAUAUUUGAAAUUAUAGAUUGAAAACCAUGGGAAUACUAUCCCGAACUACAUAUAAGAUUGUUUGAUAAAACCAUGGGAUCACUAUCCCGAACUAGAUAUAAGAUAGAUGGAUAAAGCCAUGGGAUUAUUAUCCCGUACAUGAUAUAGGUUGAAAUCAUGGGAAUAUUAUCCUGUACUAGAUACAAGUUCGAUAGACUGAAUACCAUGGGACUACCAUCCCGGACUAGAUACAUGAUAGUUUGAUAAAACCAUGGGAUCACUAUCCCGAACUAGAUAUAUAUUCUAAAACCAAAGCCGUGAAUAAACUUAUAUUAAUACAUAUUGUGAGUCGGGUAACCAUGCUGAUACGACAACGAGACCUCCUUGACGUUAGUCAGACGUCGGACGAUAUACAGAAUUUGUCACCCCAGGCGUGCCCGCCUAACUGUAGCUAGCAGUUAAGGUGUGGGAUUGUCAGUCCCGAAUAGAUCUAUUCACAAAUUCCUCGCUCUCCCUCCAGAAGACUCUGGUUACACUUCCGGGGAGGAUGGGUAGUGACUACUCACAAACUAGUACUAAACUAUUCACAGGAUUCUCAUACGAUAACAAACAUACAAAGAUUAUCAAACAUAAUACAGUGAGAAUAGAUACAUACUAUGAAAUUAUCUGGCAAUACAUUCAAAUGAUACGGAGAUAAACUGAAUCAGACAUAGUUUAUCUAAUAAUAUUAUACAGAUAUCAGUACAUGAUAGAAAGAGAACUACAGAACCCCAAAUUAUUCCCAUAAUAAUUUGAUUAGUUUGGAUAUUUUCUUAACUAAAAUCCAUUUAGUUGUAAUUGAUAAAUCAUUCCUUAUGCUCAGCAUAAUACAUAAGGAGUAAAAGUGUUUAUAAGUUUGCCAGAUAUUAUUUGAUACAUUUCAAUAUUAUGAUUUGAAAACAGUUAUAGUUUGCUUGUAUUCCCCCCCUGAAAACAUUGAAAAACACGGAAAAAGGCGUAGGGGUAUGAACUCACCGGACGAGAAAUGUGACGAUUUGGAUGCUAAGAGUUGAUCCGGGGCUUGUAAAUACACGAGGUUCCUAAUUAUAAUGUAAAGAUACACAUUUGUAUCUAAUUAGGACUUAGAUUGAUUAUUUGAUAGGGACAAUUGCUUCUAGUCGCGAAAACACCCCGAUACAAGUGUUUGGAGGGACCCGGGUAACAUUUGGGGACACAUAUAGUUAGGAUAUUGAAUUGGGACUCCAAAAGAACACUCCUUAGGGAGUUUACGGCCCUAAUGACCCUCUCCCCAUGAGUUUACGGCCGUAAACUCAUGGUGGGGUGAUUUAUGGCACAAAAUGGCUUGAAACAUUUAGGGGAUAAUUUCUAGGCUUGGUUUAAGGGCUUGGAAUUAUUUUUAAACACCAAAAUGACAUACAUAAGGGAGUCUACGGCCUAGCAUAGGACUCAUGGCCGUAAACUCUCAAAUCUCCAUGAAUAAGUGUGUUAUUGGUUCCAAACAAAUCACAUGUGAUUGCUAAAAUUAUUCCAAGGCCUUACAUGAGUUUUUAUGGGACUUUUGAGGAGUUUUUGGAGUUUACGACCCAUGAGACCCCCCUCAUGGCCGUAAACUCUCCUAUAGAGGGAUUCCUUGUGUUUUAAGGCCAAAAACCUGUUUGUAUGCACUUCUAGAAAUUAUUCCAAUGCUUUAGGGGUGUUAAAGUGGCUUUCUAACACCUUAAAAUGAGUUUACACCGUGUUUCAAGGAGUUUACGGCCCAAGCACAUGCCUUGGCCGUAAACUCAUAUAAGUCCUCCAAAAAUUAUGUUUAAAGUGUUCCGAGGCUAAAGCAAUUAUUCUAGAAGUCAUAUCCAUGUCUUGUUGAGGUUUUGGAAGGAUUUAAGGGCUUAAAAACCCUUUAAUAAUGAGUUUACAGCCUAAACACCAUCCUUGGCCGUAAACUCAUAUAUAAGUCCCCAAAUUAUAGAUUAAGGCAUUCUAGGUCCAUUUCAUAAAGUCAUUAAGCCAUAUCUAAGUCCCAAAAUUGUUUAGGAGGGGUUUAAAGGCAUAAAAACCCACUUAUUAUGAGUUUACGGCCUAAGCUCCUUCCAGGGCCGUAAAAUCAUAUACAAGGUCUUAAAUCAUGAUUAAAUCUCUAAUUUGAAGGUCAAAGAUGCUAUACAAUGAGUUUAGGAAAGUACCUUAAAGAUUUGAGGCCUUAAAAUUGAGUUUUGGACCCUUAAACUUGGAAUUAGGAGAGAGGUUAGAAAGAGAGUAGAGAGAGGAAGAAAAAGCUUCAAAUGAAUGUUUAAACAUGUUUAUAUAGUUCCCAAAACUUGGACAUGGAGGAUUUCUACCCGAUACCGGCCUUAAACGAGGUUUUAGGUCGCACCCGAUUAAGUUUCCGUCACCCGGCGGGGACGUUUCUAAAAAUUAUGAAAUAAAUAUUUUUGGGCUAGAUUCAUGAGUUCCUAAAAGGUUUGGACACUCAUUGGAUUAAAAUAAACAUAUAAAUUUAACUAACUAAACCCAAAAACGACAUCGGAACGUGUCGACAUAUGGCGAGUUAUACGGGUAGAAUGGGUUUUCGGCGAUGAACAACUUCGGGUUGUUACAAAAUUUGCUCCGAAUGUUUAUUCCAUAGAACUAUUGGUGGCAAUAUAGCACCAGAUUUAGAUUCGUUAAUAGUUUCCGUAGAAAUUCCCAUGUUUGCUUUCGAAAAUUCAUUUCGUAGAAAAUGUGAUAACAAAUUAGUUGUGGAACAACAUUCUAUACGAGCAAUCCGUUGCAGAAUACCAACAGAAAGAAGUUCCAUAGAAACUUUUCUUUUAGUGUUGGGUGAUUCUAAAAUUGUUUUUCUCUAAUUCAUUUUCUCUCUCUCUCUCUCUCUCUCUCUCUAUCUCUCUCUCUCUCUCUAUCUUCUCUCCAUGAAACCCUUAUCAAAUGCUGUUCCAGAUUCAUCACCAUGCUCUAAUUUCGGUAUUUUCUCUAACUGUCAAUCAUUCUUUGGUUUCCUGUCUUAAGAUGAUUUGCUAGGAAUAUGGAUUUUUUUAUGAGACAAAAGUGGAGACACAUCUGUCUUUUUAGCUGUUAUGUCCCUUUCCCGGAGAUCACACCUCUAGUGAAAAGUGAAAAACAACCAUAGAGUGUGAAGUUAUUAUUUGUGGGACGUUGUGCACAAAAAGUGUUUGACGAAAUGCGUUAGUAUGAUUAUUUUUCUUGUAACAUAAGGAUUUAUGUAGUAACUCAUUUUAUGACCAGUAUGUGUGGAAAUGGAAAUGUACGACAAUUGUCCAUUUUGCCCUGAGGUAAAAUGUUUCAACCUAUUGUAUUCAAGUUAGAAACUAUUUCUUGAAUUUGAGAGAAAUUGUAACACUCUAAAUUUUCAAACAAAAUUUUUCAUUUUUAAAACACAUAAAAGUCAAUAUUACAUUUCACAAAAAUCAUAAAUGUAUUGGCUUUCAAAACACAUUUCAAUAAUAUGACUGAUAACAUCCCAGAAUCCUCAAACAUAAUCUCGAACAGGUGUGUACAAUCAAGCCGGUGCCUUCCCGCGAUCCUAUGAAGUACCUGAAACAUAUAUCACACAACAUGGUAUGCACGAAGCUUAGCGAGUUCCCCAAAAUACCACAUACACAAAUAAUAAGCCUCUCAUGGCUAUAGCUCGGCAUGGACCCUCUGGUCAUGCAUCUCAAUGAGGACCCUUUGGUCUCACGGCUUGGUGUGGACCCUCUGUCAUGUGUCUCAGUGAAGACCCUUCGGUCUUACAACUCGGGUUAGACCCUCCGGUCCUGUAUCUCAGUGAAGACCCUCCGGUGUCAUAAUUUGUUUUGGACCCUCCGUUCCUAACUCGGUAAAGCACAGAAUAAUACAACAUAUAUCACAAAGCAAAAUGCAUAAUAUCACAUAACUCAAUAUAAGCACAUAGGACCCUCCGAUCGAUAACUCAAAUAAGACCCUCCGAUCACAUAAUAUUAUCGCUCAGGUAAGUAUAGUGAGAAGACUCACCUUGUAAUUAAGCAAGUAGAUCUAGUACCCCAUGAAUAGUCUAGACUUCGCCUACAUAAUAUAAUCAUCUCUAAUUAACACUUUAUAACCACAACUCUAAAAGAUUAGGCUAACCCCCCUAUUCUCACUCUUGGAAAGGGUGAAAGACUAUUUUACCCCUCCAUGGUCUUCUUUACUAAUGUCUUGACCAAACCUUAAAAGUCAACAGAAGUCGACGCUCGAGUCAACAGUCCAUGUUGACCCCACUCGUCGAGUUCCUCCUGUUUUCAUAAAAUCGGGAAAACUCCAACUCAACUCAUCGAGUUGUCUCAUCAACUCGCCGAGUUGUAGUGCGUCAAAACUAUUGGGGAAAACCCUAAUCGACUCGUCGAGUUGACUCAUCCACUCGUCGAGUCCCUUAAGUGCAUCUCUCAUUCAGACGAUUUUAAGCAAAACUAAAGCCCCAAACUCUAGAUCUAGCCUCCCAAGGCUAAAAUACCAAGUAAAGUUGAAAGAUUUACGUCCAUGCAUGGCACCUAGGGCUCAAACUGUUAAAACAAAGCUGUAUGGAGGCUUAAUGCAUAAAUCUUGUCCAAUAUCUUGAUAAAUAUUGAAUCUUUAGGCCCAAAGGACCUCAUACUGCGCAGAUCUGAAGAUUCAACUUCAUGGCAUGCUCAACAACUCAAAGGUUCAAAAAGGAAGAUGGAAAUGCUCACAAACUCCCUAAGAAGAGAUCUAAUUAAACAAUGAUCAAGGUGAUAACUUUUUAUUUCCAAAAAGUAGCUAGCACUGAAAGAACACUGGAUCCAGAGGCUUAUUCUCGUCCCAAGCCUUAUGCUCUUUUAUAUCCUUCCAAGAAUGCACCAAGUCACACACUUUUACUCUCUCUCUCUCUCUCAGAUGAUACCAGCUUGUUUAGGGUUUCUCUCAAGGUGUCAAAAUGAUCAGGGAGGUGAAAAUGAAGGCUUAAGGUCCUUUCAGUAUGACACAAACCUUGAAAAUUAGGGUUUUCACAAUCAACUCCUACUCGUCGAGUUGGGGUUCACCAACUCGUCGAGUAGACUCUAAAAAUUACUCAACCAUUUAUCCCUCUACUCGGCGAGUUGGGGCCUCCAACUCGUUGAGUUGCUCUGACAAUAUGAAUGCAACUUAAUUAAAUAUUAUACCUGGGGCCUCCAACUCGUCGAGUUUGUAUUUUUUAUUUGUAGUUUUUGUUUGAUAAUUGAAGGAUCUUACCAUUUUACCAUGUGAACAUAAAAUACAUUUGGAUUGCAUGGAAGAAAUUUAACAACAUCAUCAAUAUCCUUGCCUUGUUUGUUCACUGAGUUUCGUAAAUCUUUUAAUUGAUCGUGCACUAGAGGUUACAUUAAGUUGAGGCAAACUUAACGGAGAAAACAAGAGAAUUAUAAGAGAGUCGGAGAUGAAAAAGUCCAACCCAUGAAACAAGGUGCUAGGAACUCAAAGCCUGACUUGUAAGAUUUUAAAGAUCUUUUUGGUUGAUCAUUCACUAUAUUGUAUGAGCGAAGCUGCAAAAGAUUUUUUAAGAGAUUAGUGUUUGUGUAUCUCACAUCGGUACGACACGGUCUUAUAAGUGACUAUAUAUGUAGUGUUUCCCUACUCUUCACAAGGGCUCUUUUGGAGAGUUAAUAUGAGGCUCCACAUAUAUUUACAUGGUAUCAGUGUUGACAUCUUACACCCUUAUGGCUUAGCAUAUCCAUGUUUAUCCUCAUCGAGCUUCCGACUUUGAGAGAGAGUGUUAGUGUAUCCCAAAUCGGUGUGACACAGUCUAAUAAGUGACUAUAUAUGUUGGAGUUCUCCUUCUCUCUACAAGGACUGUUUUGGAGAGACAAUCUUGGGCUCCACAUUUAUUUACAAUUAGUUCUUGAUAAAAAUGGUUCUCAUAAAAAAAACUUGUUAGAAAUCCAAUACACGUAUGGUGAAUUGAAGUUGUAGAAACGAGUUGUAGGGUAAAAACUAUUGAACCAGGUGGUUUUCUUUUAAAUUAUCAUGUUCAUGAACCGAAUUAAAUAAUUUUAUUUCGUUUAACCUUAUGAAUUAAAUACUUAUAUUCAGGUUUUAUUUUGACCUUAUUUGUUGAAAUAAUUCAUAGGUUUUAUUUCCAAAAUGGAUUGAAAGCUAGAUUAAAUCACUUGGAAUACACGGGUUGGGUAGUCCACCAUUAAGUAGUGAGAAAACGAUUUCAUAUUGUUUUUAUUCUUGAUUUCUAUGAGAUGUAUAAAGGCUCAUAAUAUUGAAAUAAGCAAGAAGCUAAGAAGGUAACAGAAGCACCAUAUGUAGGAGAAAACUUAUGCAUUUCAGUUAGAAAUUGCAAAACUUAUAAGUUGGUGUCUUUUGCUUAAAUUUAAACCAUUUCUUAUUUGAAUCAAAUAGGAAACCUAUUUAUUUGUGGUUACACCAAUUUGAAGGAUAUUAGUAAAGGUAAUUUUUUUAUGCAAGAAUGUUGGACCUGAACAUACUUCUCCCGACUGCAAGGUGAUUUCGGUUCUUUUUCUAUCACCUACAUCAUCAAAUAGUUUUCCCUUCAACUUUACAGUGCAUAUUUGGUUCGAUAUACGAUAUGUAUUGACAUAUCUUUGUUUUAUCAGAUAUUUUAUAUAUUAUUGGGUUUUUUUUAAUGUUAAUUAUAUACUAGAAGCAUUGUUGUUCCUUGUAGGAAAUAUGGUCACAUUAAGGCUGAACAUACUUCUCCUUUGGAAUUUUUUCUAGAUUAUGUAAAAGAAAGUUAUCAGGACACCCUUAAAAUUUAAGGAUGGAUACCCUUAGAUUUCUAAAUAAAAAGCUAAUAACAAUACUAAAUUUUAAUUUCUAAGUUGCAACAAAUUAUAAACAUGGAAAGUGAGAAAAGAUAGGAAAAAUCAAAAAAUUCCUAAUAAUUUUGACAAAAAGCAUCGAUAAUCAAGAAAUCAACAUCACUGGUUUCUCGAAUAACCCAGUGUUAGUUGCAUCCACAACUCUACGCCUCUCUGAACGGCCGCCACCACUACAUUAUGUUGUUGCUUGCCUCUUCAUUGGGAUCCAUCUCGUUUUCUGUCCAUCUUACUUUUUCAUGUCUCCGUUGUGUCAUCCACCAGAGUCCCAAAAGUAGUUUUGUUCUUGAAAAUCAGGUAAGGUUGUCUUCCUCUUAAAAAUAUGAUGGUGUCUUUAAAGUUUUAAGAUAGAAAAGGAAAGGUAUGCGAGUUCUUCUUUGGGUGUACGGAAUACCCAAGACGAAUCGGCUUGUGGUCUACGUGGCCACAAGCGUUAUAUGUGCACGCUACCCCGGCCAGUCGUGGUCAGGCGUUUUCGUGGUCCAUCAUGAUGCAUUCCACGAACAAGCACGGAAAAUGAGAGACUGGGCCUCCCUCUCUCUCUCUCGUGGUCAUGGAGAGUACUACAUGGCUUUGUGGUGGGUAGUGGUGACUGAUCUGGAAGCUCUCCACGACUGUUGUUAUGGAGAGUAUUGUGGAUGGUCUUAGGUAUGUAAAUUAUAAAAUGAAAGAAAAAUUUUAAAAAUGAGUAGAUAGUCAUAAAUUGUACAAGUAGAUAUAUCUAUCAGUUUACUGUUCAUUUGAUAAAUUGGCUUUAAGUAAUUUUAAAUUCACACUCAAAUAGUUUUUUUUAACUUGUACGUAUAUUACUACUGGUUUUAAUGGUUAGUUAGAGUUUGUAAUGUUAAAUUGUUAAUUCAUUGGUUUUAAAUUUACUAUGAUGUUUUAAAAUUAUUUUUGAUCUUCUAUUAUUAAAUUUAAUAUUAUAUUUGGCAAAAAUGGUAUAAAUUGACAGUCCGACUAGAUAAUUUUUUUUUGACUCUUUUAUUAUGUAUUCCAUUUUGAGUAUGAGACUUGUGAAAUUGAAUAUUAGAUUUACCACUACUUAGUGACAUUUUUUAAGUCCUUUAGCAUUGUACCGAUUCAGAAUAACUUUUCUCUUAAAUUCUUUUACAUUAAUUGUACUUGUUCUUACUUGAAUUAAGAUUCAUAGUAAUUUGUCUCUUUAAGUCCUUUUACAUUAAUUGUAUUUGUUCUUUACUUGACAUAAAAUCCAAAAUUAACAUAUCAUUCAUCAUUGUAUCAUUCUUUUGUACCCAUUAUUUAACCAUUAGGAUAAUAUUUCAUAAUUUUUUAUUUACUUAAGGUACUUAUAGUAUCUUACAUGUGUAACAAUGAUGAAAAAUUUAACUAGAAUUUGAAUAUAUUUUCUAACAUUAAAGGUUACCUUUUACUUACAAGAUUGAUUUAGGAAGUGCUAUCAUGUUCGUAAUAUUGAAAUUCAUUUGCUUAAUUUGUCAAGAAUAACAUUAACUGGAUUUAUAAACCAUUUAUUACCUCAUCAUUUGAUCAAUAUAUUCUUUCAUACUUGAUAGAUACAUGCCAUUGAGAUAUCUAACUGUUUUACAUAUCUGGACUUGCUCUUAAUUAUGUUUGACAUUAUUUCUUGAAUUUUACAAAUUUUAAUGUGAUUUGUAUGUUGCCUUAAGGGGACAUGUCUUUUAACUCGAUGUUUUUUUAUUCUUGAAUGAAAUAUGCGGUUGAAGAUAUUGAAAAUGCGAUACAUAGGUAUGUUGGAAAAACAACUUAUAUUCAUAAUCAUACCUUUGAAAGAGAAGUUUUCUUUUAUUAUAUGAAUCACAUUUGAAAAUACUUUUGUCUUCUAUUACAUGAGAAUAAAUAAAUAGAGAAAAAGAAGAAAAGGAACUUGAAGAUGAUCUUCUCAUUACUUCUCUUUGAAAACAAAAUGCCCAACAUAUAUACAAGAAAGUAAAACGGCAUAGUUUUGAUAACUUAUUUCGAUACAAACAUAAUAUGAAGAAUCUCCUGAUAUGCCCCCUCAAGAUGGAUUUUUAAGGAUAUAUUUGAGAGCCGUCUUGGAUAGAAGUGGAACCAAUUUCGAUUGAGGCAAUGGUUUAGUAAAAAUAUCGGCUAGUUGAUGUUGAGUUCGAAUGGGCAUAAGUUUGACUCUUUGAUCCAAGAUUUUGUCCCUUAUAAAAUAACAAUCAAUUUCUGUAUGUUCCGUGCGUUCAUGAAAAAUGGGAUUGUAAGCAAGUUGGAUUUUGGAAUUAUUCUCACAUAAUAUCAGCGUAGGUUGUUGUAAAUGAAUGUCAAGAUCACGAAGCAAAUGUCUUAACCAUAUGACUUCACUAGUGACAGAUGCAAGGGUUUGAUAUUCUGCUUCAGUGGAUGAACAUGAUACAAUGGUUUGCUUCUUAGACUUCCAUGAAACUAAAGAGUCUACCAGGAAUACACAAAAACCUGCUAUUGAUCUUCUCGUAUCUAGGCAACCAACCCAAUCAGGAUCACUGAAAUCUUUAAGAUGCAAUGAUUGUUUAGAAGAAAUAAAGGACCUUGUCCUGGGUUACUUUUUAAGAAUCUAACCAAGUGUUGUGAUGCUUGAAAGUGAAGAAUUCUUAGCAUAUAAACAUAUUGGCUCAAGUGACGUAUAGAAUAAGCUAUGGCAGGUCGUGUUAUGGUGAGAUACAUCAAUCUACCAAUCAAUCUACGAAAUUGAGAUAGAAAUUCCAAGAGUUGACCAUUAAAAAUUAACGAUUUAUGUCCUUGGUCCAUAGGAUAUGAUCGAAGUUGGCUUAGCUGCUAAUAUUCCUGAAUCUUUAAGAAAAUCUAAUACAUCCUGUCUUUAUGAAACAAGAAUUCCAUCUGAUGAUCAUGCGAUUUCAAGACCAAGAUAAUGUUUCGAUUUUCCUAAGUCGUUUAAAUGAAAAGUAUUACUCAUACAUGUUUUCAUACCAUUAAUAUUGAACAUAGAUGAGCCCGUUAUCACAAUGUCAUCCACACAUACAAGUAAAGAAACAAAAUCAAUUCCUUGACCAUUUUUUAACAAAGAAUAGUCCUAUUUGGAUUGUUCAAAGCCUUCUGAACUGAGAAAAGUCAAAAACUUUGCGUACCAUUGUUGUGAAGAUUGACAAAGACCAUAUAAAUACUUUUGAAACCUACAAAAACAGUUUAUUGUUGGAUAUAGAAACAUUUGAUGGUUUGUAACCUUAAGGCAAUUGCAUGUAGACUUCUUCGUGGAGUUCACUAUUUAAAAAUGCAUUUGAAAUUGUCACACCCCCUGCCCAGUCUUUGGCUGAAACACCGAGAAGUGUGACGGUAUAAAGAGCGACAAUCCUAUUAACCUGAGAAUACAUGCAUUUUAAAAGUCAAUAUAAUGUUGGUGAGCGUUGCGUUUAAAUGUAUUGUGUCAAAUGUGUAUGCUAGGAUAGUCUUGUUUACCAGUUUCGGCCUGUCCAUUCAUGGUUUUUCGUUCUAGGGUUAGACUAUUUAAUGUGCAUACAUGUAUCAAUUAGGGUUAAUGUUUUGUCGCCCUACCUAGCUCUCACAAAGAAGUUCUUUCUUGAACUCUUCUAGAGCUAUUCAAUCAAAGCAUUCGGCACUAUUUUGAUAUUUGUUCAUGUCAUUCAUUUCUCAUUAUUUAAUAUAGAAUCUAUCGAUCAUAAUUAUUGUUCCCACAAUUGGUAUCAGUGCAGCAGAUAGUGUAAUCGAUUUGCUACUCUUCUAUUGAGUUUUUUAUAGGGUUUUACGUAAUACUUAGAUUUGUUCUUGUAGUCUCAAUCGCUCUUAUCGGUUGUGGACUCUAUAUAGUGUAAUUAAUUUGCUACUCUUCUAUCGAGAUUUUGCUAGGGUUUUACGUAAUACUUAGAUUUGUUCAUGUAGUCUCAAUCGCUCUUAUCGGUUGUGGACUAUAGAUCUAGAUCUCAAGUCUUUCCCUUGAACUCGAUUCAACUUUUUACACGUCUGAUUCUAUAUCUGCUUAAGUGAAUACUUGACAUUAUGAAUAACGAAGAUCCUCAUACUCUCUCGUUCAAUAUUUGUAGUAGUAUUGGAUCCACGACAAGGAUCCCUAUACUCUUUCCUCAAGAUUAUGAAAUGUGUGCUUUGCACUUUGAAGAUUACAUUCUUGGAAUAGAAGAACACAAUACUACUAUAUGGCAUUCAAUGACGCAAGAAACGUUCAUGUAUACCGAUACAAGAGAGUCGAUCAAAACUUUGGAUGAGUAUAAUAAACUCCUUCUUGAAAAUAAAGAUUUUUCUACCAAUGAAAAGAAUAAGCUUAUGGCUAACAUAAAAGCUAUGAGAAUUAUCCGAUUUGCUCUUCUUCUAGAUAUGUUUCGUCUUGUGAGCACAUGUAGUACUGCAAAAGAAAUAUGGGAUAGGCUGAAGGAAAUUUAUUCAAGUGAAGUUGAUUUGAUACAUUCGGUGCAAACAUUACUUUUGUCAGAGUCUGGAGCUUUUGUACAAAAUUUUGAUGAAAAACUAGAUCAAAUGUUUAAUCGAUUGAAUCAUAUGUUGAGCAGAAUGGAAAGCUGUUGUGUCUACUGUGAAGGCACACAAACAAUUCAAAAGCUACUCCUUGGCCAAGCUUGUGGGAAUUUUGAGAUCCCAUGAAGACGAAGUUACGAAGGAUGUGAAGCUUGUUUCUAGUCUUGGUUCACUAACUUUUGUUGCGAAAGGCAAGAAAGCUGCAGAGGAAGAUUUUGAAUCAGAUCUUUCAGAAAGUGAAAUCUCAAAAGAAGACAAAGCUCUUCUGGCGUCCAAUCCCAAGAAUUUCUCUCGUAACAAAAACAAGUUCAAACAAGGUAACUCAAGUUCAGAGAAGACAAGGGAUGAGUUAUUCAAGAACUCAGGAAACGAUGAGGAGAAGAAAGAUAAGAAGUUGUUGGGUGAUUCGGGGUAUGAUUGCAACUACUGCCACGACAAGAAUCACUUUGCCAAGGAAUGCAUGCUUAGUAGGAUGAAUGAAAAGAAAGAAACUGAGAAGGAUGAAGCCUACUGUCUUUAGAAGAUAGAGGAACUAAUAAAAUGGAGUACAUCAAAUGCAAAGUCGGCAUUGAUCAUUCAGGAAGGAAGUGAUGAAGAUGGAAGAGCUGAAGUGUGGUCAACUGACUCCGAAGAUGAUAAGGCCAGAAAAAACACACAUGGCAGAUGCUUUGUGGCAAAGUCAGAACUACAGGAGUAUGAAGGAAAAUGCUUGAUGGUUUAGAAUGGAGGUUCAGAAUGAAUAGGGUAAGCUACGGAUGGUAAUCAAGCUUCUGAAAGCUGCUUUGCUACGAAGAUAGUUUUGGUGCAAGUAAAAGAAUGCGAGAAGGUGGUUGAUAAGGUACAUUCUAUACUCACAUCUCUUAACAUUCAUGUUUCUCGCUAUGACUUUGAACGAGACGAUUUAAAAUAUAUUGUCUCUAAGUUCAGUGAUAGUUUAAAACGAACUCGUCUAAGUAAUUCUAAUUUGACUAUUCAACUAAACAGGGAAACAUUUAAAAGUGAAGAGAUGAGAUUAAGAAUAGAGGCCUUGGAAUUAGAGCUUACCAGGUCACAUGAUGAUGUUAUUUAUCUUAAGAGAAAUAGUCGUCCACUUAUGAAACAAAGGAAUAUUUUCUGUUUAAUAGCUCAAAGUUUAUAUUUCAAUAUUACUCAAUUGCAUCUUGAUUGUGAUAUAGGUAAAUGUUUGCACAAAAUGAUUUUGUCCUUUCUUGAAUUGAAAGAGGAUGAAAUCGAUGCAAAUUGUUACAAGUGUGAAUCCAUUGUUUCUUGUGAUGAUGUUUUUGAUUCUUAUUGUGUUGGACUUGAGAAAAUAGAAGAAUACAUUAAGUCCAAAGAACAUAAAAUAUGUUGAAUGAAAUUUUAAUUGAAAAAGAUAAAGAAGAAAUCAAAUUGACUUUGAUGCAGAAAUAUGACUUGUAAUGCAAGAAGUUGAAUUCAGAAAAUACUCUUGAUUCUGAGAAUACUUUUGAAUUCGAUGAAAGUGAAAUGAGUGAGAUUUAUGUAGAGGAAAAAGUUGAUUGCUCGGAGUUUGUACAAAAUGAUGUUGAACCGAAGAAAAUUUUUAUUUUGAAAAUUCAAUUGAAUUCGUUUGUAUUAUAGAAAAUAAAGAUUCAAGUGUUUUAAAUGAGAAAGCAACAGUUUUCCAAAAGUACAAACUGUUCCGAACCAAGUUUUUAUUAAAACCGGAUUGAACAAAAAUCAUACUUCAGAACUAACGUCUCUGGUUGAUAAUAUAAUGCGAAAGGUUGCAACGAAUUCUUCUGGUUAGGACCAAUCGACAACGCAGAUGAAACAAAAGGUCUUUCCGAAAUGAACUUAUUGAAAACAAAGGGAAAAUACGUUUCAGAAUCAUUGAAUCGUGUUAACCAUUGUUACGAUAAGGUUGAUACAAGUGGUACUAAAGAUAUCCCGAUUAAAACCUCUUCAGAACAAAAUGAUAUGCCAAUCCAAAAGGAAAAACCAAAGUCUAACAUUCAUAAAUUUGCUGCUGAAUUAAUUGAAAAGAAAAGGUAGUUGAAUGCUAGUUAUAGGAAGAAUCUGAAAGAAAGAAAACACUUUUGGAGAAAUCAGAAUUCAAAUCAAAAUUCUGUUAAUUCAAAAAGAGUUUCAAAUCAAAAUAAGAGUUCUUCUCCCAUUCUGAAAUCACAACCAAAAUCCUUUUCAAAACCUCAAAAAUCAACACCACAGGUUUCAAAAUUUAAUUGUUCUCCAAGAACAUAAUUUUCAAAACCUGUCCACACAUCAAAACAUGUUAAGGGAAAAAGUAAAGUUGUUUCAGAACGAGAGAUUUCUCUUCAGGAAUACAAAGCAAAUUUGAAAAAGAAGGAAAAGGCUUUUGUGAAAAAGAUGGCUCAGAAACACAAAGAAUUUAUUCAACGUCAAACAAUUCCUGUUGAAAUGAAUAUUUGCCAUCAUAAAGUGGAAGUCUUCAAAAUCGAAAAAGGGAAGAACCAUGUUUUAAAAAGAAAAUCUUUUUGGGUUGAUAAAACUAAGAUUGUUCCAGUUGUUAAGAAAUCCUCACAAGGACCCAAGAUGGUUUGGGUACCUAAAUCUCUCUAAUUCUUGCAGGUAAUGCGUGACGAACAGUAUGAUUCUGAAUGGUAUAUCGACAGUGGUUGUUCUCGUCACAUGGCAGGAAGGAGGGAAGAACUAUGAGAAUUUAGAUCAUUAAAGGAUGGCGGUUGAGUAAAGUUUGGAAACAACUCUAUCAGAGAAAUAAAAGGCUAUAGAAUGAUAACAAAUGGCGAAUUUUCCAUUCAUAUUGUAGCUUAUGUAGAAGGCCUACAACAUAAUCUAAUAAGUGUUUCGCAAUUGUUUGUAGGUACAGGGCUAAAGGUGUGAUUUAAUGAUGAGGGUUUAGAAAUUAUAGAGAAGAAAUAUAAGGUAGUACUUUUGAAGUCUUAAAGAAAGGGAGAAAUGUAUCCUCUGAAUCUGGAACCUAUCAAAGGGAAGCCAUGCAUUUGCCUUCUUACGAAAUCAUCUUCGGAUGAUAGUUCGCUAUGACACCGAAGACUCUCCCAUCUAAAUUUCAAGGAUAUAAACAAAAUCGUACUAGGUAAUCUUGUACGUGAUCUACCUGUUCUAAAGUUCGACAAGGAACAUAUGUGUGCUGCUUGUGAGCUUGGAAAAAAAAAGGAGGAAGAUUUACUCAACCAUCAUCAGCACUAAGAUUAUUGAGCCACUAGAGUUAAUGCAUAUUGAUCUGUGUGGUCCAUUUUCCAUCGAAAGUAUUGGUGGUAAUAAAUAUAUCUUGGUUGUUUUUGAUGAUUCUUCUUGAUUUACCUGGGUGUUCUUUCAUAAACAGAAAUCAGAUGCCAUUCCGAAGCUGAAAGAUUUCAUCAAGCAGAUCGAGCUUCGAUUACGAAAGCCUAUUUGGAAAGUUUGCAGUGACAAUGGUUCGGAAUUCAAAAACCAAGCCUUUAAAGAAUUCUUAACUAACAAAGGGAUUGCUCAAAACUUCUCUGCUCCUUACAAUCAACAACAAAACGGUGUCGUUGAAAGAUGAAACUAGUCUCUUUAUGAAGCUGCAAGGACAAUGUUAUCAUUUGCGAAUCUUCCUCUCUACUUCUCGGCUGAUGCUAUUGCAACUGCUUGUUUCACGCAGAAAUUAUCAUUCAUGAACAAAAGAAUUUUAAUUACACCUUAUGAUAUUCUGAACAAUAGAAAACCUAACAUAAAAUUCUUUCAUUUGUUUGGUUCUGGGUGUUUUAUAUUUAAUUCUAAAGAACAAAGGAACAAAUUCAAUGUGAAAGUUGAUGAGGGCAUUUUUCUAGGUUAUUCGUUAACUUCAAAAACAUAUAGGGUUCUGAAAAAGAAGUCAAGAAAGAUUGAAGAAACCUAUUAUGUCUCCUUUGAUGAUAAUUAUUUGAAGUAUCAGAAAAUGGAUUGUCAAUCUGAGGACAUCUUUCCAUCAACGAAUCCGAUGACUAUUCCUCUCCUAAAUCUAUAUGAAGAAUUUCUAAUCUAUUUAACGAACCUAAAAAAGCCAUCUCUUCUUAAUCUAAGCCAAAAGACAAUCAAGAGGAUAAACUAAAGAAGAUAGUUGAUGAAGCUACAAAAAAUAUCGAGACUUCUCACGAGUCACCAAUCCCGAAUGCUUAUGAAUUUCCAUCUAAACCAUAACCUUCUGAUGCUUCAUUCCAGGGGGAGCUCAUCUUCGAGUCCCAAUACCGAUGCUCAUUUCCAAGGGGAAGAUCUGAUUACAAACAACGGGUCAAAUGCAAACAUCCAAGGGGAGAAUGAAAAUAACGAUUCUGAUGUGCAAUCAGAAUAUAAGGAAGUUUUUGCCGAAGUCGAUCCAGCCUAUGAUCCAUGUUAUCCUCCUAUGACAAAAUGGAAUAAAAAUUAUCUAAGAUCUCUAGUGAUCGGAGAAUCAGCUUCAGGAUUUCUUACAAGGUCACAACAAAAAGCGAAGCAAACUGCAUUAUUUUUAAAAAUGGAGUUUUGCAUGUUUAAUUCGUUCAUCUCUAAAACUGAGCCUAAAACUGUAAAGAUUGCUCUUGAUCAUUCAGAUUGGGUUCAAGAUAUGCACGAAGAGCUCAAUGAAUUUGAGAGAAACAAAGCAUGGAGACUAGUCCCUACUCUGAAGGAUGCCUCUAUCGUCUUAAUGAAAUGGGUGUUUCGGAACAAAUUAGAUAAGGGAAUGUGAUUCGAAAUAAGGCACGAAUGGUUGUGAAAGGAUACUGCCAAAAGGAAGGUAUAAACUACGAAGAGACAUUUGCACCAGUUGCAAGACUUUAAUCCAUUCGGAUCUUGCUUGCAUAUGCAGCUCACAAAAAUUUUGAAGUUUUUCAAAUGGAUGUGAAGUGUGCAUUUCUAAACAGUGAACUCGGGAAAACGGUCUACAUGGAACAACCACCAGGUUUCGUUAAUGAGAAAUAUCCAAAUCAAUGUUAUAUAUUGAAUAAGGUUGUGUAUGGUCUGAAACAUGCACCUCAUGCAUGGUAUGAAACCCUUACUCAUUUUCUGAAACAAUCAAAAUUUAAACAAGGUUCGGUUGACCCAACCUUCUUUUGUAAGAAAGAUGGUGACCAUUUAAUGAACGUUCAAAUUUUUGUUGACAAUAUCAAUUUCAAAUCCACAAAUCCUAUAUUAACUGCUGAAUUCUAAAAACUGAUGGAAACUAAAUUGAAAUGAUCUCAAUGGGUCCAAUUAACUUUUUCCUUGGUUUAAACAUUAGAUAGAGUUCCGAGGGCAUAUUUAUCAACCAAGAAGCCUACACAAAGGCUUUGCUAGCGAAAUUUGGAAAGGUGGGUGAUUCAAAGGUCAAAGUUUCAAUGGCGUUCGAAACAAUGCUUACACCAUCCUUGGACAAGCCAACAACUUGUAAGGUCCCAAAAUUCAAGACUAAAAAUUUCUUUUAAUAAAGCAUUACUUUAAGCAAAUUCAUCAUUUCAAAACGUAAACAGAGUAUUAGUUUCCAAAAUACAUGUUCGUUAUCAGAGUAAACAUUCCCAGGCUGUCUAAACUAUGGUGUGUGCCAUGCGAUCACCCCGAGCUCUUCCCUCCGCUACCGGAAGUACCUGAAACCAAAACUGAAAACCGUAAGCACGAAGCUUAGCGAGUUCCCCACCUUACCACAUACCAUGCAUAACCACAUACUACACAUACUGGGCCACACCCGCCAUCCUGGGCCUCGCCCGCUACAACGGCACUGCCGCUCCAGGCCCCGCCUACCUUCGAGCCCCGCUCGGAUACAAAUCUGUUUCACUUAGGCCUCGCCUGUCAUAGGGCCUCGCCCACUAACAUAUAAUAGCACGUAAGCAUAUCACAUCACAUCACAUAAUCUAAACACAUACUAACGGAUCUUGUCCUAAGGCCUUGCCUAUCUCUGGGCCCCGCCCUUGUCCUGCUACUGAUGAGUCAUGGAACCCCGUCCAUACUCCUGCUGAUAGUGAGGUACGGGCCCAGCCCACCCUCACUCCUUCCCUAACUUGGGCCUCGCCCCUGAUCUGCUGCUACUGAGAUGUGGAACACCAUCCACACUCUGCUAUUGGUGAGAUACGGGACCUCGCCCACACUCACCUCCCUACCAGGCACAUACAAGUAUCACACAGACAACAAGUAUAAACUAUCACAUAAACCAUUCCUUGGGCACCCGCCCUCUAUCAUUGGACCUCGUCCCGAAUAUCAUACUAGCAUACUGUGCCUAGGGCUAACCCCCGGGUCUUCUACUGAUAACUACAUGGGCCGACAUUGCGGCCGUAGACCCAUUCAUACAAAGGGAAACUCACCUGCACUGGAUGAACUGGCUGAUGAACCCACUAGCUGCUGCCCGGCAACUCUUUGAACUCCCGCUCCACUCGCUCCCCGAGCUACCAAUAUCAAUGCAACACUGAGUCUAACUGACCCCCGACAGACAACCAAGUCAACUCUGGUGUAAGUCAAAGUCCAGGUCAAAGUCAACCUUCCAGGUCAACCCUACUCGCCGAGUCCACCUACUGACUCACCGAGUUCAUAUGCUCCGGGUCCUUCCAUUCGCGACACGACUCGCCGAGUCCAACGAUUUCUGAGUCCUGACCUGUCCAACUCGCUGAGUCUCCACCCGACUCACUGAUUCGAUUCUCAACUCGAAGGGUUUGGGGGUUCCGCAACCUGACUCGCCGAGUCCAAGAACAAACUCACCGAGUCCAGGACAACCUUCAUCCAACUCGUCGAGUUGUUCUUCCAACUCGCCGAGUUCAUGCCCAACUUCAUCCGACUCGACGAGCUAUUCAUCCUACUCGUCGAGUUCCUCCUCAUCUUCAUGAUACUCGCCGAGUCCACUCGAAGGACUCGCCGAGUCCAUUCAAAUCUACAUACAUGCAGAGGACUUUGGAGUCAUGGAUGGACUCCAAACUGUAGAUAUAUCCUUCCCAAGCCUAUUCCUCACGUAAAGUUGCAAACUUUACGUGUAGAGAAGGAGAUCUAGGCACAAUACCCCAUAAACUAGGGUUUAAGGCAAGAAGGAUCCAUAAUCAGCUCAAGGGCAGAUACUUUAUGGGACACUAGACCAAAACAAGCAUGGAUCUGAGGUAGCAACCUCAGAUCUGGACUUCUACCUCGAAAUGGUUACUAUUAUGCCAAGAAUGCCCAACACACACAUAGAUCUAGGUGCAAGGGAGUCCAAGGAUUAGCUUAUUACCUCUAAAAGCUCAGAAAUGUCUUCCCAAUCCCGGAUCUACAGCCCCCUUCUUGCACUCUCAAGAUUCUUCUUCUUUCUCCAAGCUUAAUGCACUCUUCAAGGCAAUAAAUGACUCAAUCAAUGGAUAUGACGGCUAGGGUUGGUAUCUAGGGCUAAAGAGACAGUAAAGGAACCCUAGGAAGAAGAUUAAGACGUUUAUAUAGGCUCCAAGUCCCGAAUUUAGAGUUUUCCACACACAGACCAGACUCGCCGAGUCACCUUGGCCGACUCGCCGAGUCGGUCACUUACUCCUCGACCCGGAUCCCGCUCGGACUCGUCGAGUCUCGCCUUGAAAUUAGGGUUUUCACUCCAUAUCUCCAGAUGAUUGGAUCUUUAAUGUAUCUAACAUCAAGUCGUCCUGGUAUUAUUUUUGUGGUAUGUUAUUGUGCCAGGUUUCAGGCGAAUCCCCAUGAACCACAUAUGAUUGUUGUAAAGAACAUUUUCUGAUAUCUUAAAGGAACCACCUCUCUUAGAAUUUGGUAUCCAUCUAAUUCCAGAUUCUUUGUGCAAGCAUUUUCCAAUGUUAAUCUUAGUGGAUGUGGACUUGAUCGUAAAAGCAUGUUUGGGGGAUGUUAGUUUCUAGACGACAAACUUGUAAAUUGGCAAUCCAAGAAGAAGACUUGUGUUUCUUUGUCCACUACAGAAGUUGAAUACAUUGCAGUUGUAUUUUGCACUUCCAAAGUUGUGUGGAUUCAGAUCAGCUUAGGGACUAUGGGAUCAACAUGAAAAGAAUUCCAUUAUACUGUGAUUCAGAAAGUGCAAUCAGAAUCUGCCAUAAUCCAGUGCAACACUCAAAAACAAAACAUAUUGCACUGAGAAAUCAUUUCAUAAAUGAUCAUGUAGAGGAUGGAAAUGUUGAAAUACACUUUGAUAGAUCCUCUGAUCAACUGGUUGAUAUCUUCACUAUGGCCUUACCUGAAACGACGUUCAACUGAAUUUUACAAGGGCUAGGCAUGAUCAAAGUGGACUCAGUUCUGAAAACCCUUUCAUAAUAAGAAAUUAUUGUUCAUAUUCCGAAUGGUUUCAAGCUUCGGAAUUCAUUUUCAAAAUUCCAAGUGGUUCCGAGCUUCAGAAUGGUUCAGAAUCCACUGUUCAUUAGGGUUUUAGAAUUCUUUUGUAUCCUUUGUAUAUUAAGUAUCUUCCGAUUGAUUUUGAGCUUCGAAAUGGUUUAGAAGUUACUAUUCAUUUGUGCUUAUGAAUUUAUUUUCUUUAAUAUUUUUAGUUUUUUAUUUGUUUUCAGAAAAUCCAAAAUCACAAAAAUAUUUAUUUUUUUAAGAAAAACCAAAAAUAGCAAAUAUAUAUAUAUAUAUAUAUAUAUAUAUANAUAUAUAUAUAUACAUAUUUUGUUUUAUCUUUUUCAGAAAAUCUAAAAUACCAAAAAUAUUUUGCUUUUAAGAUAUAAUCGGUCACUUCUCAAGUACAUAUUAUUCAUUAUCUCAAUUCAGAACGAUGGGGCGGGUAUAAUUUUGAAUCUAUGUACUAGCUAAGUGUCCCUAGAAGCAUGUUACUGCAUGUUGUCCCAAGCCUGUAAGACUCUAUGUUUGAAGCCCUAAUGCAACUUUCAUUCUGAUUGUGUCUUCCUAAUCAGGCUGAUAACUCACAUAAGUUAUCAAGCUACCUUACUCUUCUCACACCGAGUUAAGAGUUGACUGCUUUGUCAUCAAUCUUUAGUAGACGUACACUUUCUUAUUCGGAACCAAUCUCAAAUUUCUCCAUCAACUUCGCAUUCAUAAAUGUAACCCUUGAGACUCUCAGCAAUUACCACUGAGGUUUGUGGCUACACAACUUCUGUGUUGAUGAUCUUGAAAUUGUUAUCACCAUGAUUUUUAGUGAAACCCAAAAUCCGGAACUCAUUUCUGAAUUUACAGUGAAUAAUUACAUGUUCUAGAUUUUUUCACCAAGGAAUUAAUGAAUAAAACCUUUUUGGUUUGUACCCUUAUUGUGUGAAAUCUCAUUUUUUUCCUUUUGAGUGAUCUUAAUGAAAUAUUCUCAACCCAAUACAUUUCUUCCCAUAAGGUCUAGAUUUUUUUUGUGAUUUCCUUAUUAUCCUUCCACUUAAAUAAUUUCCAAAGCAUACUUGUUCUUAUGCCUACACUGGUCAAACAAGUACUUCUCUCAGAUUUUUGGACUUAUGUCAAGUCUCGGAAUUUGGUUGAAGCUUAAUCCACCAUUGCAACCUAAUUAAAAGAAGCCUUUCACUAUUUCUUAUCAAGUAGAUGAUCGUAAUUCAACGGAUUACCACACAAGCACUUCAGAGUCUCUCUUGACUCAGGAGGAAGAGAUCGUUACCCGGGAUUCAUCUGAUUUCAUGUUAAUUUUAUUUGACAUCAUAGAACCCCAUAAAUAUAAUUUGAUUUAAUUCUUUUUCUUUGGCACACUCUUUCAGAAAAAUCUUUAUGAUUUUUCAAAGUCUGGUUCUAAUUUCGAAUGAUUAUUUUUAAUUCAGAGAACAGGUCGUCAUGGAUUGGGUGUUAAUUCCGAAUGAACUGAAACUGAAAUGGCGGAUUUAUUGGGCAUAAUGAUUCAAAUUAGGUGUGUCGUUUUCAAAUCCCUGACAUCAUGCAUGCUAGUUACAUGGGUCUGACACAUGAUGAGCUAUCAUGCCAUCCUAGGCUAUUUUUACAAGAUAAUGGAACGACAAUUGGUGGUUUUCUCUCACCACUCAUCACAUGACGUAUAUAAGGUUCUUCGGCGGUCCGUUUUCUCUCUACUGUUCAUUAUCUUCCCAAACCAUCAAUGAUAGGAUCCUCAGAAACCACUUCAUUCACUGAUCAAUCCACCUUUGUCGUUAUACUGAACAUUAAGCCAAGUCCAAAUCUUAUUCUUGAUCUUGAAUCUUCUCGCUACAAUGAAGUCAUAAGGCUGAUGAUUGAAUGUUUAAGUUUCUCGCCACUGGCUCAAGCUCUAACCAUGGCAGAAUCGGUUCCUCUGAUCCUUCUUUCUAAGGCAUAUUCUGCUGCCACCUACAUUCAAGCUAAUGGAAUCAUUACCUUCAAGGUUACCACUAAUAGGACCUUGAUCAACAAAGCCCUUUUUGCAAAAUUCUAGGGCUUGCUUCAUCUAAGGACUCGUUGAUCCAAAAUCAAUCUCUACUACUGAACUCAUUGAGAUGUUUCACCAGAUGGGAUAUAUUGGCGACGUAUCUAUUUUGUCAAAGUUUAGGAAGCCCUUUCUUCCUCCUGUGUGGAACGAGCUCUUCACUCUUUUGUUCAAGACUUUUUUUUUUCUAAACGUGUUGCUGGAUUUGACAGCGCAAGCAAGCUAUUCUGCACCAUUAUCUACGGUCUAUACCACGACAUCAAUCUUGAUUAUGGUUUGAUUUUGUGGAAACUGCUUAUUUAGAGUACUGCUUCUACCACUCACAAUGUGGAGAUCUCGUGUGCUCGAUUUUGGUGUAUCAUAGUCAAACGUGCCCUAAUUCAUUACAAGGUUGCACUGAUGUCUGAUUCAAUCAAAGAUGUUAUUCUGAUUCUUCAGACUUCGAAUUUUAUGAUGUCUAUCCCAACCGAGUUUGCUUUUGUGGGUUCUAUUCCAAAAGUAAUGUUGGGAAAAGUGCCUUUUGAUAAUGUGAUUCUGAAUGAGUAUUGCAAGCAGCUGACAUCUGGUGUUCGCCCCAUGUCAGAUGAACUUCAGAAAACAAUAUAGGAAGCAAACAAACCGAAGAGCGAAAGAAAGAGAAAAGAGAAAGCUGCUCCUUCCGAAGUGGUAAAAACUCUGAAUAAGGUUAAAAAGCAAGCAAGGAAACCAAGAUCACCAUCUCUGAUGGUUUAGGAGGCUUCAGAAUCUAGAACUCAUAACGACAUUCAGGAUGAUGCUAUUGUUAAGAAUGAAGUAGAAGACACAUUAACAACUUCGGAACUAACUCGAACUGAACCAAUUCCGAAGGUAUCUACUUAUCAUCUAUAAUCAUCACUACCAUUCUGAUUACUUCCAUUCCUCCACUACCACCAAAGAUUUUUUGUGGGAGUUUCUCUUCCACAGAUCUCCAUUCCACUUUCUACACCUAUCUUUACCGAUUUUACUGUUCUUCCUGCUUCAAAAAUCACAAGUACACUAGAAGCCACUGUCACCAAAUCCGUUUCGGAGGAGGUACAUACUUCCGACAUUCAUGUCAAUAUAUUUGAUACGGGGGCAGAAUGCGAACAUUAGUGUGAUAAAGGAACCAACCACUUCUACAACUACUCCUACCUUGGAGUCCGAUCCUGAUAUUCUCUUUGGGAAUGAUCAAGAAAAUUUUGUAGAUUUCGUUUUCAACACUUUCACCAUCAACCAAACCAGUGAUGAUGAUGACCCCACAAUGACACGAUGUCAAUUUAAACAGUUAAUGAGAAAUUGAAUUCUUUGCAAGAGUCUUCGAAAUCCUCAUAUGACUAUGAUUACAUGCUAAAAUCCCAUCAAACUACUAUUGAGAUACUAACGAAGGCAAAUACAAAUGUCCUUAAAGACUCGACCAAGGCAAUUCAAGCUCCAGAGAAAACUAUAUCAGAAACGAUCAAAAAAGUCGAAAAACUACAUGAUGCAAUGACAAAAUUCAUGACUGAAUUCAAAAAGCUCUUUUGAAGAAAAUACCGCAACCGUCAAUAAAUUCAUUGUAGGUCUGGGUUCCACUCUCCAAGCUGAGAAGGAGGCACUUUCUCAUGUCCGUUCUGACAUCAAACUCGACAGAAGUGAAUUGAACGCAUUUGUAGUCUCCAAAAUUGAAAAGCUUCAUCAAGACCUUGCUGCUGAGAAUAAUCUCUUGGAUACAUUGGUGGCAUAGACUAAGAAAGUCAAUGUCCUUUCAGUAAAGUUGUAGUAUACCAACAAGCUUCUGGAUGAUUUAGAAUCUGAGCGAACAAUUGUGAAAAGCUGUGUUUCUAAGAUUAAUCAAUAUCUUCAUAGGCUGGUGGAGACUCGUGACUCCUCACUCACAGUCUCAAUUCGACAACAUCUUUAGAACAAGCUUAAAAAAGAAUUUUCCAUGCUAAAUCAGAUUGAGGUUGUUUCGAAUAGCGAUGCUCUUCCGAAACAAGGGGGAGACAAAGCCAACAAAGAACACAAGGAAGAACCCCAUGCAAAGCAAAUGACUAGUGAACACCAUGAAAAAAACCCAAAGACUGAUGCUCAAAAGGGUAAUGAAGCUUCUGCAUCAAAUAAAGGAAAAGAAAAAGUGGUUGAUAAAGAAGAAGAAGAAGAAGAAGAAGAAGAAGAAGAAGAAGAGCUUUCUGAAGGCGAAAAGCUUGUGAGAAAUAAGCAUGAUAAGGAACCCGAUGAUCUUUUGAUUCUUCGAAAAGAGUUAGAAGAUAAAGAAAAGGAAGCCAAUCUUGCCAGAGUCACUCUUGGAACUCAGAAGUUUCUCUUUCCUCCUUGGACGAUGGAACGAAUUCAGAGGGAAGCAAUUGAUGAUCCGAACAUCCACUGGUCGGAGCCUUUUGUUUCUUUUGAUCUGACUAAUGUAGUGGAUUCUCAACUUGAUUUUCCAAUCACUCCAAGGACUUUUCUGUUUCGAUGUUUUGAGAAGAUUAAGAAGGCACCACUUUCUGACUAUGAUGUUAAGCCUCAAUUCACGACUUGGAGUUCGCAGAAUAUUGUUGCUUUGAAGGUUUAUGCACCUUUCCUGACUGAAAACUUUAUCAACAUAAUUAGAUUUCACUGUUCUUGAUUGUAUCAAAAGAUGAAAAGACUUAUGAGCCUAUCUUUGCACACCUGAGAAGGAUGCUUAUUUGCUACAUUCAUGAAAUUGCGAAAAUGGAUGUAGAAAUAGUAGUUGUUCUGAAGAAAAGGCCGGUUCUGAAGCCUGAAGAAGAAUCGAAGGAUCUCCAUAAGCUAAAUUUGGGUAAAUUUUGAAAGGAAAAUUGGUGUGUUGUGGACCAACGAAAGUAUGGUAAAAAAGUUUAGAAGAACAUGUUCUUAUUUCGAGACAAACAUAUAUACUCAACUGUUGCUUUGAAUUCUAUUCUUGGAUUAACUUUAGGUUUAAAUGUAUUGUGUCAAAUGUAUAACCUAGCAUAGUCUUGGUUACCGGUUUUGGCCAGUCCAUUCACGGUUUUUCAUUCUAGGGUUAGACUAUUUAAUGUGCAUGCAUGUAUAAUUUAGGGUUAACAUUUUUCACCCUACCUAACUCUCAUAGAGAAGCUCUUUCUUGACAUUUCUAAAGUUAUUCAAUCAAAGCAUUUGGCACUAUUUUGAUCUUUGUUCUUGUCAUUCAAUUCUCAUUAUUUAAUAUAGAAUCUAUCGAUCAUAAUUAUUGUUUCGAUAGUGAGUGCACAAGUUUUAGUAUUUUAGAAUUUUGAAUUUCUUUUAAGAAAACUUUUCUUUAGUGAAAACAUUUCUUAAUUAUUUAUUUAGUCUUUAAUCUCUUAAGAUAUUUUUUUUAUUGAUCUUAAAUGACUAUAUUUUCAAGAUAUUUAACGAUCCUAACGUAUUUUAAUUAGGAUUGUCUUUUGUUAAUCCUAAUUUACUAUCUUUCAAGGAUUUCUAAUGAUCCUAACUUAUUUUAAUUAGGAUUGUCUUUUGUUAAUCCUAAUUUACUAUCUUUCUAGGAUUUCUAACAAUCCUAACAUAUUUUAAUUACCAUAUCAUGCGUCCCUAAUGGUAAAUUCAGUUCUAAGGUUAUUUUUAAUAUAUUAACUUUGAGCCCCUAUAAUCGACGCUACGACCAUAAAUGUAGCCCUACUCAUGACGCUUCAUAGGGAUGUCAACGGGGGAAAACGGGGCAGGGAUUGCAUCGNNNNNNNNNNNNNNNNNNNNNNNNNNNNNNNNNNNNNNNNNNNNNNNNNNNNNNNNNNNNNNNNNNNNNNNNNNNNNNNNNNNNNNNNNNNNNNNNNNNNNNNNNNNNNNNNNNNNNNNNNNNNNNNNNNNNNNNNNNNNNNNNNNNNNNNNNNNNNNNNNNNNNNNNNNNNNNNNNNNNNNNNNNNNNNNNNNNNNNNNNNNNNNNNNNNNNNNNNNNNNNNNNNNNNNNNNNNNNNNNNNNNNNNNNNNNNNNNNNNNNNNNNNNNNNNNNNNNNNNNNNNNNNNNNNNNNNNNNNNNNNNNNNNNNNNNNNNNNNNNNNNNNNNNNNNNNNNNNNNNNNNNNNNNNNNNNNNNNNNNNUCCCCAUUCGGGAUCGGGGCCCCAUGGGUUCGGGGUCCCACGGGACUUUUUGACAUCACUAACGCUUCAUCAGACGUUAAAUAAUAAAUUAUAUGGAAGGUAUCCUAUCAGGAUUGUAUCUAGUAAUCGCAUGUGGGGUUGUCAUGGCCCCGUAUAGAUCUAUACAUAACUUCAUAGCUCUCACAAGAUUAAUGAUUAUAGGUAUUGGGGGAUAUGCCGAAUUUAAUCAAGGCUUUUGGACGAAUAACCAACUCACUAACGUAUUAACCUUAUGCUUUUAUCUUUUAUGUUUUAAUCUUUUAUCUUUAUCAUAAUUACCCCUAUACACACACGCACACACACACACACACACACACACAUANNNNNNNNNNNNNNNNNNNNNNNNNNNNNNNNNNNNNNNNNNNNNNNNNNNNNNNNNNNNNNNNNNNNNNNNNNNNNNNNNNNNNNNNNNNNNNNNNNNNNNNNNNNNNNNNNNNNNNNNNNNNNNNNNNNNNNNNNNNNNNNNNNNNNNNNNNNNNNNNNNNNNNNNNNNNNNNNNNNCGGGCACACAACUAGUAUAUAUAUAUAUAUAUAUAUAUGAAAAUUAUAUUUAUGGUCUCAUAAUUAUCUGAUAUAUAUAUAUUGUCAUAUAUAUACUCUAAUUAUGGUUAUUUAACAGGAUAUUUGGGCAACGUAACAACUAAGUACAUUGCAUAUCCUAAAUCUUGUCUGGCAUAACUCCUAGGUAAUUACAGUUUCCUAAGGAUUUGGCCAUUAUAACAUCUAGGUAUUACCUACUCCUAGAAUAUCAAACAUCAUAUCUUUUAGACACAUGUCAUAUCUUAAAUCUAGGCAUAGUAUCUACAGUUAUACUAUCUUAAGGUAUUUUGCUUAUAAUAAAAUGUCUUAAUAUUUAUAAGAUAAAUGUUUUUAUAAAAUCAUUUGUUAAGCAAGUAUUCCCCCCCGAAAACAUUUUAAAACAGUAAAAUAAGGUUCAUGAACUCACUCUAAUUGCGUAUCCAGGCGCGCCCGAACUGUUCCUACCAGAGUUUCUUACCAUUGAGAGGGUACUGAAGUAUAGUGAGAGAGUUUGGAGGUUAAUUUGAGAUGAAAAACUUGGAAGAAAGUACCGCUAUUUAUAGUGAUGGUGCGCGUUGGACAUUCUCCUGUGCAGCGUGCACGUGCUUCGUGGCCCAUCCAAAUCUUUACACGUGUCACCCUUAUGGUGGUCUACGUUUCCAAAUCUCCGAUGAAUUUGGUGUUAGAUGUGUGCGACUGACAUGACACUUACAUUGACACACACCCUUUAAUUCUUUUUAAAAAUUCAUACUUUCUUCAUAUGAACUUUGUUUCUAACCAUCUUUAUAUAUUUGUGUAGCUCUUUCCUAGAACUACAACUUUCCUUUAGGUUGCAUCUUAAAUUUUAACUUUCAAUUUCUACCCACAUUUUUAUAUUUUAUAAAAAUCAUAUCUUCUUCAUACGACUUUCAUUUUUUCCCUUCUUUCUUCCUAAGUUCUUAUCUCAUUCUUUACUACAAAUUUCCUUAUUGUAGUGUUAGCCCAAACUCAACUGUUCUCUUUUUGUUAUUUUUUAUGUCAAUGGCGUUUUUAAUGUGGUUGGUUUCUAUUCGUGAUAAAUCAUAACUCUUCCAAUUAGAGUUAGAUUUUCUCGACACUUUUAAUUUUGGGAUCAUUAGGUCACAUAUUUUGCAAAUACGUUAACCAAUUUAACUUUUUGAUUACUUUAUUUUCGACUCAACUUUCCAUAUUAUCCUUCAAUAUGGGAAGUUUUUUUCUUUAUAAGUCAAACCUAACUCCUCGUAACCAUUAAUGACGGAAAAUUCUCAAUUGUUACAAAAAUAAAGGCCAACCCUAUUGAGAAACAAUUGUAAGUAACACUUUAACAAUGACCAUCUUUGCAACAUGAGAGUAUGUAUCUAAGAAGUCAACAACUUCUUGUUUGGUGAAGCCUUUAGAUACCAAACUCGCAUUAUAACACUCUAUUGAUCCAUCAAAUUUUUGUUUUUAUUUUGAAAAACCAUUUGUUUCCUAGAGCUUUUCGAUUCGGUGGUAAUGAAACAAUGGUUCACGUGCUGUUAAACUAUAAGGCUUUCAAUUCUUUGUCCAUUGCUUCUUGCCACUCUAAAUGUUGUACAGUUUCUUUGUAACUCUUUGUUUGAAUGGAUAAAUCAUAAACAUUUGCUUUAUGUGAAGAAGAAAGUUUUGAAUAAGAAAUGAGAUCGGAUAUGGGGUAUUUCACUGAAGAUUGUUGUUGUUGAACACACUGAGCAAGAGCACAAUGAUAAUCUCUAAGAUAAUUAGGAGAAUGUCUUCAAGGUUUAUUUGAAAGUGUCGAUGAUCUAGUGGAGUACUAGAAUUAUCAACAAAUACAUCCAUGUGUGGCGUCAUCUGGGGUGAUGAACUGAUGUGAUUAUCUAUGAUUCCAGCAUCAAUGGUUUUAGGAGUGACAUGUAGAAUAAAUGGAUUGAUAGGCUUUUCAAUGGAAUAAUGAUGAAAAGGAAAUGUUUCCUCGUGAAAAACAACGUCACGAGAAGUGAAUAUUUGUCUUGUUUCUAAAUCAAGAAGUUUAUAUGUUUUCAUACACUGUAGAUAACCAAGAAAUACUGAAGCCCUUUCCCCUGGUUCAAAUUUUGUUCGAUGGGAAGGUGAAGACAUGAUUAUAGUUUCAUUAUUUGAGAUUCCGCGAUGUUUUCUUUGUAACAAUGAUUUUCGAUUAUGGUUUAUGAACAAAUGGUUUUGUCUUGAUUAUAACUUUAUGAAAAUUGGUGUUUAUUAUAAAUUAAAAUUUGAAGAUUUUAUUCUUCAAAUCAGGAAGUGACAUGGUGCCAUGUUGUUUAGGUCAUGUCAAUGGACCUAACAUCAUCACCCAUAAAAAUACAUUAUAAGUCGCCGAUUCAUUCUUCAACAGGCAUGCAGUCAGAGCCUCGAGCUCCUCCUACGACUUAGUAGCUUAAGGUUUCAUUUUCUAUUAUACUCCCCGAUGGGGGUUCUUUUCACCCUUCCCUCACGGUACUACUUCGCUAUCGGUCACCCAUGAGUAUUUAGCCUUGCAAGGUGAUCCUUGCUGAUUCACAUGGGAUUCCACAUGCCCCAUGCUACUCAAGUCAGAGCAUAAGCUAGUGAUGCUUUCAGCUACUGCACUUUCGUCAUCUAUGGUGCAACAUUCUACUACUUCGCCUAGCAGCACGAUGCUAACAACACAAAUACAAAAAAAAAAAAAAAAAAAAGUACGUUGGCCUCUAAAACGCACACAUUCCAUAAUAGUUCUUUACAUCUCAGAGCUAUGAUUUUGACUAUUUGAUUGCAAAUCAAACAACAAAAUUCAUAAAAAUAACAUGGUUCACGGUAUCCUUAGCAAAGGGCGAAGCCAUUCUUCAUGUCAUCAGUUUUAUUUAGGCUUUUUCUUUUUUGGAUUACAGUUUAUAUACGAGGAUACGAGACAUGUCAAUUUCGGUAUGGGUCACUUGGAAGAGUAUUUAAAAAAAAAGGUUAAUUACUUAAAAGGCAUGUGAGCACCGCCCAAUUGGAUCGCCUAACAACAUAGCCAAGAUCCGAUGACCCUAUUUCAUUACUUGCACCAAACAUAAAGUACUCAAUAUUACCAAAAUGGGUAACGAACAUUAGUUUUUGUCCAUAUUUAAGUAACCAUAUAUUUUGUAUAUUUGUAACCGGUAAACUUGUUGUUCAAUAGGUUUCACAAAUAAACUUGUUUGGCAUGUUGGAUUAGUAAAUAUGUUUGAUAUAUUGGUAAUAAGUUAAUACCAUUGCUAAUUACGAAUAAUAGUACCUUAUCAAAUAAAUUACUAGUAAAAAAAAAUAUAAUUAUGUAAAAAUCCAUAUCCACUAGAAUUUUCUAGUUACUUAUAUUAAAUAAUAAAAAAUCAAAUAAUAUCUUCCACUCGUUUGAACUACGAACUAGUUACGUCUACCAUGACUCCAUCCAUCGUUUCAACUGAAAAAUAGUAGCCAAAUUUAAAACAAAGUACAACUUCUUGUGCAUAUCGUACAAAUGCUGACUACAAUGCUGGCAGGGGUAGGUGAUUUCAUCGCAGUAGUAUUUAUGUGGCCGUUCGCCGACUAACAUUUAGAAACCUAACCUGAAAUCAGGCGUUGCUGAUAGAUUCAGAUCGACGGAAAAUGGCGGAUGAAGUGAAGUUGUAUGCCGUUGCAGGAAGUCCAUUCGUUUGCAGAGCAAAAAUCGCUUUGAAUAUGAAGGGAAUCAAGUACGAAAACUUCGAAGAGGAUAUGAGUAACAGGAGUGCCGAACUUCUCAAGUUUAAUCCUGUUUAUAAGAAAGUACCGGUGCUGGUUCAUAACGGAAAUCCGAUCUCAGAGUCUCUGCUGAUCGUUGAGUACAUUGAUGAAGUGUGGAAAGGAGUUCCGAUUUUGCCUCAGGAUCCUUAUGAGAAGGCUGUUGCUCGAUUUUGGGCCAAAUUCAUUGAUGAUAAGGUAAUAACUAAUAAUUUCCUUCUCCCCUAAUCGCUACUGGUUUUUGUAUACUUAUGUAAUUGUUAGUGGAUGUAUUCACAUGAUUUGAUUUCAGUUGAGUAUUUUGAAAAAAAGAAGGAAAUGAACAGACUGAUGCAUCACAGUCUUUAACACUUUUGUUCCUACAUUGACGAUUACAUUAUAUGUUUUGUUCAGUGCAUUCCUGCAAUAUUCAAGGCUUUUGGCCCCGAUGGAAAUGAACAGAGUGAUGCAGAAGCCAUCGAACAACUACAAAUACUAGAAAAUGAACUGAAAGCCAAAGGUACCAAGUUCUUUGGAGGUGACAACAUUAACCUGGUCGACAUUGCUGCUGAUUUCAUAGCCUAUUGGCUUGGAAUAAUCCAAGAAGCAGCAGAAAAAACGUUGGUAACCAACGACAAGUUUCCAAAAAUAACAGUUUGGGCUGAUGACUUUGUCAACCUUGAACUUGUUAAUCAAGUCUUACCUCCAAGAGAACACCUGCUUGCAUUUUUCAAGAAACGGUUUGGUAAGGCAUAAUGGUAACUGCAGGCAUUUAUAAUUAGUAAAUCUAGUCGCUUUUUACGGUAUGCAUUUU